Molecule: long non-coding RNA, 59615 nt
Filed under: Triticum aestivum (bread wheat)
Lineage: Eukaryota; Viridiplantae; Streptophyta; Magnoliopsida; Poales; Poaceae
Description: long non-coding RNA (TAES_LNC018235)
Rfam family: tRNA (bases 1999-2070)
Source: RNAcentral
GUACCUAGGUUUCUAGAUAGAUAGCGCGGCGGGAAAGAUAAGGGAUGGAUGGCCGGAAAGAAGAUUGAUGAAUAAUUGCUGCUUACAAUGGCUUCGAUGGUAUGCUUGUAUGUGAUUAUUACGAAAUUAUCGUAGAUGGAUGAAUGUAUGUCCGUGUGUAAUUUGGGAACUAAAGUUUUCACCCUGAAUUCCUGAACAAUUUACACACCAUGCAACUCUGUUUCGUUCAUGAGAUUUUUAUUAUUGUCAAAAGCAAAAUUCGAUGUUAAUCGACUCAGACAACUGAAUCUGAUGCAACAAUUUGAAGUUCAAGAUCUUGAUGUCAACAACAAAUUACCAAGCGAACAAAAUUCCUAAGAAACUCCUGUCAGUGACCAACUCAUCAUAACACACAGAGUAACACACAUGUACACAUUCUGAACUUCUCCAUGACACAACAACACGGUGAUCUCCCUACUGAGUAGUGACUGAUCAGUUCAUCGAUCAGUUCGGCAAUUCAGAUGGAUCACGAGUUGAUCUACACAAACAGUCAGCUAGCAGUUAACAGGUUAGGAUUCAGCAAUCGAUGAACCGAUCAGGACGACAAGGACUGCGCGACGGAGGAAGUGGUGAGGAGGCCGGAGAGGAGGCCGACGAUGAGCGCGCUGUUGUACGUGGUGGCCUCGUUCUGCAUCACGUUCUGCCGCUCGUCCACGAACGAGUCGUUCUUGAAGGGGCCCCCGACGAGCGCCCCCGUGGCCACGUUCGGGUUGGUGUCAGGCGACUCGAGCCACUGCUGGCCGCCGCAGCCCGUGUUGACGUCCGCCGGGAUGGACGCGCCCCGGUGGUGCACCCGCUGCGGGUAGCUGUCGCCGUACCCGACCAGGUAGCUCAGCUUCAUCGGGUUGUCCCCCAGCACGUAGUCCGCCUGCCAUUGCCAAACAUACAUCGGUGGCAUUUCAGGUUCUGACAAAGUGACAAUCUGACUGAAGAAGUGGAAGACAACCAUUUCUCUGAACAGAGUACUGGUGUUACCUGAGACUGGGCGAACUUGCGCAGGUCGUCCGGCGAGAAGCUCUGCCCGCCGCAGGUGAGCUCCGUCUUCCCCGAGGUGAGCAUGUAGUCGCCGUAAACGGCGGCGAGGAAGGCCGAGGCGACGGGGUGCUGGAGCGAGUUCCACUCGGCCACGUACAGCAACCCACCUUCCGUUCUGAACGCGGCGGUUUCAGAGUCCGGCAGAAGGAUGCACAUGACGGCGUCGGCGGUCUGCUUGUACGACUCCAGGCCACCUUCGUUGUCGUCGGCGACGCCGGCCCCCUGCGACGCGAAGAAGCUCACCCUCGACAGGAGGACCUGGGUGCCCGGGCGCUUGUCGUCCCAGCUGAAGUAGCGGGGGUUGCCGAGGUCGGCGAAGUCCUCGCCGUUCUUGCCGGUGGCGUAGGCGAGGUAGCUGCCGUUGCCGGUGGCGUGGAAGAGCCAGCCGCUCGCCCACAGCAGCUCGUCCUGGUACGUGGUGGAGUUGUAGUACUUGGCGAGCUCCGGGAAGGUGCGCGUGUAGGCGGCCCUGUGCCGGUCCGCGAACGCGAAGAGCUGCUGCGCGUGGCCCAGGAGGGACGACGAGUAGGGAGCGUCGAUGGGCUUGUAGACCAGCGACGCCGCGGCCAUCGCCGCCGCCGUCUCGGCCGCCACGUCGCUGCCGGGGGAGUUGGCGGUGAUCUUGGUCAGCGGCCGCUUCUCCGACAUGGUCUCCGGCCUCUCCCAGCACUUGUGGUCGGCUUCAGGGUCGCCUACCUGGUCGAUGAUCACAGCAAGUCAACAACACAUGUAUAUAUAUCCCUCUUCAGAAUCGGUUCUUCUGAAAUUCAAAUAUGCAUUCUGCAAGUUUUUCUCAUCCACGUCAGUUCUGAACUAUUUUGCACGACGGUCCAGUUCGAAUUGUUCGCAUUUUUGUCAGAUUAAUUAACAACUUUUGAGGAGGAACAUAUUUGUAGAAUUUAUGCUGAAUAUGUAUCGUCAAUUGGUCCUAUGGUCUAGUGGUUAGGACAUUGGACUCUGAAUCCAGUAACCCGAGUUCAAGUCUCGGUAGGACCUUGUUUUUUUUGCUUGGCUUUGUAUCUUACUCUUUUGUGUCUAAAAAUUAAGAACUUGGAAAUGAUAUGGUCAGAGAAACAACUACUUUUUUCUGUUUAAAUAUCAAGAACUUCAAAAUCAUAUGGUCACAGAAAAAAAAAGAGUUCGUUGAAUCUAAUUAUCCAAGAAGAUGUGCAGUAACCUGAAAUCCAUCUCUUUUAAAUUUUCUUUUCCGUCUAAAAAUUAAGAACUUUAAAAUGAUAUGGUCAGAGAAACAACUAAUUUUUCUGUCUAAAAAUCAAGAACUUAAAAAUGAUGUGCUCAGAGAAACAACAAAAAAAGAGUUCGAUGAAUUUGAUUAUCCAAGAAGAUGUGCGGUAACCUGAAUUCCACCUCUUCUAAGUUCUGGUGGAGGGCAGCCGAUGGCGAGCUGAAAGUCCACUGGAUGGCCUUGGAUUAAAUGUGUAGAAGGAAGCGAGGUGGGGAAUGGGUUUUAGAGAUUUCAAGAUAUUUAAUCAAGCCCUCCUCACUAAACAAGUUUGACGUAUUCUGAUGGUUCCUAGUUCAGUUUGUGCAAGAGUUCUUAAGGCUCACUAUUUCCACUAGAUGGCCUUGGAUUAAAUGUGUAGAAGGAAGCGAGGUGGGGAAUGGGUUUUAGAGAUUUCAAGAUAUUUAAUCAAGCCCUCCUCUGUAAACAAGUUUGACGUAUUCUGAUAGUUCCUAGUUCACUUUGUGCAAGAGUUCUUAAGGCUCACUAUUUCCACUGGAUGGCCUUGGAAUAAAUGUGUAGAAGGAAGCGAGGUGGGGAAUGGGUUAUAGAGACUUCAAGAUAUUUAAUCAAGCCCUCCUCUCUAAACAAGUUUGACGUAUUCUGAUGGUUCCUAGUUCAUUUUGUGCAAGAGUUCUUAAGGCUCACUAUUUUGAGGACAUGGACGCGAGGCCGACAUCCCAAACAAGAUGAAGAUACAUGUGUGGUGAAUGAUUUGGAAUGGUUUAGCUGUAGGAAUUGAACUACACGUGCGCAUGAUUAAACCGGGGAUAUUUUGUGUCGCGUGUGGCAGAGAAGAUGCCAUUGUGCAUCAAUUCUGGCGUUGUCCGCAUUUUGUUCAUUUUUGGAAACUGCUAUGUGAUGAGGUUGUGGCGCCAGAGCAUCCACAAUGUGCAGUUUUGCUGUGGGCAUCGAUAAGUCCUCUGUCCUACUACAGGUGGUGCGACAACCUUUACCAAGUCCAAACGAUUGUCAACUACCAGAUCCGCUGGUCCGCUAUAUUCACCCUAGCCCAGAAGCACAAAUCUUCGGCGUGGAAUAUAAUCCUAAAGCUUUUGAAAUGCUUCUAAUAACCAACGAAUGGCAAGUGCUCUUCCUUGUUUAGAUCCUAUUCCAAUCGGAACUUUCCGCGUCGAUCCUUUUUUUUUUACGUCUUGUUUUUACUCCUAUAUUGGGAGUUACUCUAUGUAUUGCUUGACGUAAAACAUUGGACAAUUCAUUUGUAAAAAUGUAUGUCUAUUUAAAUCGCACAUAAAAAAAUCUAGUCAAAUUUUCAUUGUAAAUAUGAAUUCUUUUGUUAUAAGAGCAGCUAAACCUUAUUUGGCCACUACAGGAGCAACUGGUAAUGGUCAUUAUGGAGAAAUCCUUUAGAAGGGAGAUAGGUUAGUUUCUAUAGUUGUCCCUAAGCUUUGGAGGCUGCCUCUAUACAUUGGAUGGAGGUGCCUCUAACAAAAAAUCCUUAGCAUCGCCUACAAGCUUUUGUUUCAACUAAAGUAUUCAUUUGUCCCUGUAUGUCAUCCCUGUUUUUGUGGGACCGAUGUAGAGGAUGCACUAAACUGCCAUACAUUGCAGCGUUUUGGCUAAUCUUAGAGGCAGCAAUGUCGACCCCAACAUUUUUGUCAGAUUAAUUAAUAAGCUUUUGAGACGGAACAUAUUUGUAGGCUUUAAGCUGAACAUAUAGCAUCAAACGGUCCUAUGGUCUAGUGGUUAGGACAUUGGACUCUGAAUCCAGUAACCCGAGUUCAAGUCUCGGUAGGACCUUUUGUUUUGUUUGGCUUUGUAUCUUACUCUUUUCCGUCUUGUUUUUUUUCUUCGUUUGGCUUUUGUAUCUUACUCUUUUCUGUCUAAGAAUUAAGAACUUUGAAAUGAUAUGGUCAGAGAAGCAACUACUUUUUUCUGUUUAAAUAUCAAGAACUUCAAAAUCAUAUAGUCAGAGAAACAACAAAAAAAGAGUUCGAUGAAUCUGAUUAUCCAAGAAGAUGUGCGGUAACAUGAAAUCCAUAUCUUCUAAAUUUUCUUUUCCGUCUACAAAUUAAGAACUUUAAAAUGAUAUGGUCAUAGAAACAAUUACUUUUUCUAUCUCGAAAUCAAGAACUUCAAAAUGAUGUGGUCAGAGAAACAGCAAAAAAAGAGUUCGCUGAAUCUGAUUAUCCAAGAUGUGCGGUAACUUGAAUUCCAUCUCUUCUAAAUUUUGGUGGAGGGCAUCCGAUGGCGAGUAGAAAGUACAAUGGAUGACCUUGGAUUAAUUGCGUAGAAGGAAGCGAGGUGGGGCAUGGAUCUAAGAGAUUUCAAGAUAUUUAGGCCCUGUUCGGAUCCUCUCCACUCCCCAACUGCAGCUCCCGGAGCGGAGGGAGCGCCAACAUAAUUGCAGGGAGGGGCUCGAACCCAGCUCCUCACGCGGAGUGGAGUUACGAGACUGGAGAGUUUGUGAAAUGCAGUUAAUCCAGCCCUGGACACUAAAAAAGUUUGACAUAUUCUAAUGGUUCCUAGUUCACUUUGUGCAAGAGUUCUUAAGGCUCACUAUUCUGAGGACAUGGACACGAGGCCGACGUCCCAAACAAGAUGAAGAUACAUGCGUGGUGAAUGAUUUGGAAUGGUUUUAGCUGUAGGAAUUGAACUACACAGGCGCAUGAUUAAAACGUAGAUAUUUUGUGUCGUGUGUGGUAGAGAAGAUGCCAUUAUGUAUCAAUUCUAGCGCUGUACAUAUUCUGUUGAUUUUUGAAAACUGCUACAUGAUGAGUUUGUGGCGCCAGAGCAUCCACAAUGUGCAGUUUUGCCGCCUCUAAGCCUUUGGAGGUUGCCUCCAUACAUUGCAUGUGUUAGGAAUGGGCAACUACAUUCACAGGAGGGCCAAGGGCCAGUACAUAUACAUGUGUAUGGUAAAGUGCAAGAGAGACUAUACACAUCUAACACCCCCCCCCCUCAAACUCAUGGUGGAUCAACAACACUGAGUUUGGAGAGAAGAAAACUAUGCUGCGCUUGAGUCUGUGCCUUCGUGAAGAAGUCUGCCAACUGUAACUCAGAGGUCACAUAGUGAAGAGCGAGAGUCUGAUCCUGCACAGCAGCACGCACAAAGUGGGCAUCCACACCGAUGUGCUUGGUGAGCUCAUGCUUCACCGGAUCACGCGCAAUACUGAUAGCACCAGUACUGUCUGACAAUAAGGGAGUCGAGGUAGUAGCAGACACACCAAAGUCCUCAAGUAACCACCAUAACCAGAUCACCUCAGCCGUCAGCAUAGCCAUGGCUCGCAACUCAGCCUCUGUACUCGAGCGAGAAACGGCAGUCUGUUUCUUUGUCUUCCAGGCAAUAAGAGAGCCACCAAGAAAGACACAAUAAGCAGACAGCGAGCGUCGAUCAGAGGGAUCACUAGCCCAGGUAGCAUCAGAGUAGGCCUGGAGCUCAAGAGAGUUGGAGCGGGGAAAGAAAAGGCGCUGAGAGAGCGUGCCACGAAGAUAUCGUAGAACACGGAGGAGAUGACUAUAGUGGACAGAGGUGGGGGCUGAAACGAACUGACUCAGGAUAUGAACAGGAUAGGAGAUAUCAGGACGCGUAACAGCAAGAUAGACAAGACUGCCAACAAGGUGACGAUAGCGAGUGGGGUUAGGGAGAGGGUCACCAUCAGAAGCACGAAGCUGAACGUUGAGUACCAUAGGAGUCACAACUGUGCGCUCAUCACCGAGAGCAGUGCGAGCAAGAAGAUCCUGAAUAUAUUUUUCUUGGGAGAUGUAGAAGCCAUCAGAGGUCGAGGAGAUCUCAAUCCCAAGAAAAUAGCGAAGUGGAUCAAGAUCAGUCAUGAGGAACUGGUCGCGAAGGCGAGCCUUAGCAAAGGCUAUGUAGUCAGAGUCGUCACCAGUGAUGAUCAUGUCAUCAAUAUAGAGAAGGAGCAGAGUCCGACCACGAGGAGACGUGUGAACAAACAACGCAGGAUCAUGAUCACUGGGCAAGAAGCCAGCGGCAGUCACCACAGAGGCGAAGCGCUCAAACCAGGCUCGAGGGGCCUGUUUAAGACCAUAGAGGGAGCGACAAAGUUGACAGACCAAACCAUCAGGAGCAUAGUACCCCGGUGGUGGCUGCAUAUAAACCUCCUCACGCAACUCGUCAUUAAGAAAAGCGUUCUGAACAUCAAGUUGAGAGAUAGACCAAUGACGAACAGAAGCAACAGCAAGAAGAGUGCGAACAGUGAUCAUGUGGGCCACAGGAGCGAAUGUCUCAUCAUAAUCGCGUCCCUGCUCCUGCUGAAAACCACGGGCCACAAGGCGCGCUUUGUAGCGCUCAAGAGAACCAUCAGAGCGAGUCUUAAUCUUGUAGACCCACUUGCAGGUGAUGGGACGGACACCGGAAGGGAGGGAAACCAGAUCCCAUGUGCCAGAGCGCUCAAGGGCAGCAAGCUCUUCGGCCAUCGCAAGCUGCCAUUCAGGCUGAGUCAUGGCAGUCCGAUAGGAAGUGGGCUCAGCAAUAAUAGAGAGACCGUACCGAUCAGGAGAGUAGCGAUCAGGCGGGGGGCGAGGCCGAGCACGGAGGUUAUGAAACGGGGGAGGGGUGAAAGGAGGUGCACCAGAGGUGGAAGGCGCAUCAGGGGAAACAUCCUCAGAACGAGGGCGACGAGUAUAGUGAAGAGGAAAUGGUGAGAGAGGGCGACGGACUGGAGAUGAUGGUGGAGAGUUGGAGGAGGAGGAUGGGGAAGAUGGUGUCGGUGGUGAAGGAGAAGGAAGGAGAGGUGCAGGCGGAGGAGGAAAAACAUGAGGAGGCACAUAGCAGGGUGUAUCAGGGAGAAGAAGAAAAGAAAGAUCGUCCACAGAGAAGCUCGAGGUAGAAGGACGUGGGUAGUAAGAGCGAGACUCGUCAAAGGUCACAUCACGCGAGAUGCGCAAACGACGACCAACAGGAUCCCAACAGAGAUAGCCCUUGUGCUCAUCACUGUAGCCAAGAAAAAACACACUCAACCGACUGAGCAGUCAGUUUGGUGCGUUCUCGCGGGGCAAGAAGGACAUAGCACACACAUCCAAACAUACGAAGAGCUGAGUAGUCAGGAGAGCGACCAGUGAGACACUCCAUAGGAAUACCACCCUGCAGAGCAGUCGAUGGCUAUAUGUUGAUGAGAUAGGUGGAUGCAGAACAGCCUCAGCCCAAAAAUGGGGUGGGAGAGAAGCGGCAAUCAUCAGAGCACGAGCCGUCUCAAGUAGAUGACGAUGCUUACGUCCGGCAACGCCAUUCUGAGCAUGUGCACCAGGACAUGAGAACUGGGCAAGAGUACCCUGUUCCGCAAGAAAACCACGCAACAGCUGGGAGAUAAACUCACCAGCGGAGUCAGCACGAAAAGUACGAAUGGGCGUGGAAAACUGGGUGUGAACCAUGGCAGCAAAACGUUUGUAUAUAGAGAGAACCUCGCUAUGAGAUUUCAUAAAGUAGAGCCAAGUGUAGUGAGAGAAAUCAUCAAUAAACAAGAUAUAGUAGCGGUGACCACCUUUCGAAUCAAAGGGAGCAGGACCCCAUACAUCAGAAUGAACUAAGUCAAAAGGACGCUGAGAUACCGACUCACUGGUAGGAUAAGGUAACUGGGUCUGUUUGCCAAGUCUGCAGCCAUUACAAUGUAAAGAAACAUCUCCAGAUACAGACCCUAAGAGGCCCUGACGAACUAAAGAAGACAAGCGAGAGCCACAUAUGUGACCAAGGCGAUGAUGCCACUGCUGGAAUGACGCAGACGAAGAGGCAGCAAGAGCAUGGGAGCUGGCUGAAGUGGUGGCAGCGGAAGGAACACAAAGCCAGUCAACCUCCCAAAGGCCCUCUGACUCACGGCGCCGGGGGCGAGCACCAACCAAAGCCUUGGUGCGACGAUCAUGAAUGGAGCAAGAGUCGGUAUCAAGAAUGACACGUCAACCAGAAUCAGUAAGUUGGGCAGCGGAAAAAAGAUUCAUGGUGAGGCGAGGAACAUGUAAAACACUAGGAACAGAAAAAGAUGGAGUGGAAAGAAGACCACGGCUAGCAACAGGAAGAGGUGUGCCAUCAGUGGUAAGAACAUUAACAGGCGAAUCAAGAGGUCGGAGAGAAGACAGCACGGAAGAAUCAGAAGACAUAUGAAAAGAGGCUCCAGAAUCCAGAACCCACGAAGAUGUACCUGACUGUGUAGAUGCCUACGGUGGUGGAGCAGUGGCUGCAGUCACAGCAGCAGCGGAACCGGUCGACGAAGAGCCUGAGGAAGCUAAGAGACGCUUGAGCCUCAUAAUGUCCUGGUCAGUGAAUGACGGGGUCGAGGAGAAUUCAGGAGUCCCACUGGAAGAGGAGCGCCUCUGGUCUCGCUUCUUCUCACGGCAAUCAGACUCUGGGUGACCUGGCCGAGAGCAGUAGCCACAGAAGGUGUCACGGCGCGACCGGCCCCUCUUAGCAUAAGAAGGACGACCCACCCCCUGAAGGAGUAGGCAGGAGCGGUGGAGCGGUGAGGCGAGCAGGUGGCAUAGAAGCUCGGGCGGCCAACACUGAUGGAACCACAAGUAACCCAGCAGAGCGUAGGCGGGUCUCUUCAGCACGAAGCUCAGCAAGUACCUCCGAGAUAGGAACACGACCACGAGCGAGCAGGUGAGCACGGCGAGGCUCGAACUCAAAGCGAAGACGAGAUAAGAACUCGUGAACCCGCUGAAACUCCAAAUCGGACCGUGUAGUCUGACAGCAACGGCAAGUUCCACAAACGACGGUCCGAAGAGAGUCAAGCUGACACCAGAUGGCAGAGCACUGUGAAUAGAACUCAUCAACAGAGGAAUCACCUUGCUGGAGUGCAUGCUCCUGACGCACCACAGAUAGGUAGAGAGCAUCACCAGAGGGCUGAUAGCGCUGGCAGAGAUAAGACCACAUCGCUGCAACUGUGCCAAGUCCCAUGAACUCCGAGGCGAACUGAGGAAGGACACUCGCAGUAAGAACAGCAGCAGCACGAGCAUCAUCGUUGCACCACUGAGUGUAAGCAGACAGAUCAUCACGAUAGGCAGAAAGGGCAUCCGAAUAGGCUGACAUCUGCUGAUCAUAGGCAUCAACUGCAGUAUCAUCGAGAGCCUUGGCGGCAUCACGAUCAGCCUGAGAAGCAUCAGCAGCAAGAACCGGCGGUGCUGGCGGGGUAGGAGCCACUGGAGCAACAGGGCAAGGCGGACAGGGGACCUCGCCAGAGAGAACACCCUACAGAAGGAGACCGCGCAUGUGGAUACGCAUAAAGCCCGCAAACUCGGCAUAGUUGGUGCCAUCGAAGAUCACCGAGCACCGAGGAACGGCGACAUAGCCCGAAGAAGACAUGAGGAGCUCUUUUUUUUGUCAACUGCUACAGUAGACUGCUACAGGAGACCCCGAUCUAGAUCGGGAUCGGGCUCGCGCUGGCUCGAUCCAGCCCCGAUGGAGGAAGGGGGGAGGGUGAGCGUGGGAGGGGCCGGCCCUGGGCAGCACCGGCUGCAGCAGGAGGCGGCCAAGGGCGACAGGGCGCGGGGAGGUCGCGGCCGGGCGCGGGGANNNNNNNNNNNNNNNNNNNNNNNNNNNNNNNNNNNNNNNNNNNNNNNNNNNNNNNNNNNNNNNNNNNNNNNNNNNNNNNNNNNNNNNNNNNNNNNNNNNNNNNNNNNNNNNNNNNNNNNNNNNNNNNNNNNNNNNNNNNNNNNNNNNNNNNNNNNNNNNNNNNNNNNNNNNNNNNNNNNNNNNNNNNNNNNNNNNNNNNNNNNNNNNNNNNNNNNNNNNNNNNNNNNNNNNNNNNNNNNNNNNNNNNNNNNNNNNNNNNNNNNNNNNNNNNNNNNNNNNNNNNNNNNNNNNNNNNNNNNNNNNNNNNNNNNNNNNNNNNNNNNNNNNNNNNNNNNNNNNNNNNNNNNNNNNNNNNNNNNNNNCAGGCCGCGGCCGCGCUCGGGGCGGCGCGGGACAGCGACGGCAGGCCGCGGCCGAGCUUGGGGCAGCGCAGGCCGGGGCAAGACGGCGUGGCGGCGGGGAGGGAGAGAGCCGGGGGCGAGGGAGGAGGUGGCCGGCGCCGGCGACGAGGUAGAGGGAGGCCGGGGACGAGGAAGCUAGGCACGGAGCUGCUAGCGUGCGGGAGCGGGAGAGGAACCUAAGUAUCUGAUAUCAUGUUAGGAAUGGGCAACUACAUUCACAGGAGGGCCAAGGGCCAGUAUAUAUACAUGUGUAUGGUAAAGUGCAAGAGAGACUAUACACAUCUAACAGCAUGGAGGUGCCUCUAACAAAAAAAAUCCUUAGCAUCGCCUCCAAGCUUUAGUUUCAAUUAAAGUAUUUAUCUGUCCCUAUAUGUCAUCCUUUUGUUGAGCCUCCCAACUGAAAAGUGAAUCACAUAACAACUUGAUUAUUAUUUUUGUGGGACCAUUGUAGAAGCUCCACUAAAAUGCCAUACAUUGCAGCGUUUUGGCUAACCUUAGAGGCAACAAAUGUCAACCCUAGCUUAGAGGCAAUGCUGUCUCCAACACCCGUGGGAAGGACAUGGAGACAGUUGAGUGCAUGCGUGCAUGGACACUAGAAUGGCUGGGAAGAGUGAGUGCGGAAGAGAAGAAGAUGGUAAUACGGGCCUAGUAUGAACUCUGGUUAGCUAGGAACAAUUUAAUGAAUAGAAACAUACUUCCUCCGUCUUAAAAUAAGUGUCUUAACCUUAGUGCAACUUUGUACUAAAGAUAAUAUAAAGUUGAGACACUUAUUUUAGGAUGGAGGGAGUAUAUUGAAGAGCUUAUGCAUCAAGGACAGAGUGGUUCGGCUAGCUGGGGAGUGAAGCUCGCUCAGGGAUGUGGCGGCCGUGCAGCCGCCGAUGCUGUGUGAGCUGGAAUGCUGGAGAAGACCAGAGGAUGGGUGUCUCAAGAUCAACUUCGACGGCGCCCUAGCUAAACAUCAAGGUUCUAGUGGGGGAGGUGUUGUCCUUUGGGACAACCAUGGCAACUUCAUAACUGGGGCUUGCCAUUUUUUUCACUCGCCGUCGAUUCAGAAAUGGUGGAGCUGCUCGCAUAUCGCAGGUCCAUCCACUCGGUGCAAGAACUCAACAUCCAGAAAGUGAUUCUCAAGACGGAUUCACAAGAGGCGGUUCGAAAGAUUAGAAGCAAGGAAAAUAAUCUUUCAGCUAAUGGGCAACUUGUUGAAGAGAUCAAGGUUUUGCUUACAAAGUUUCAGGAGUUUAGGAUUGAUUGGGUGCGACGUUCGGCGGAUAAAGUCACACACGUCCUACCUCUGGAAUGUGUGAGAUUGGAGAUACCACUGAGUGGGCUAUGAUCUAUGAAUAAGUAGUAUUUUCAACUGGAAAUGGACAUCAAACGGUCCUAUGGUCUAGUGGUUAGGACAUUGGACUCUGAAUCCAGUAACCCGAGUUCAAGUCUCGGUAGGACCUUAGUUUUUGUUGCCUUUUUGUAUUUUUUUUCUUUCUUUCAAGAAAUUUGUCUUGCCUUUUGCGUCUAUAAAAAUCAAGAACCUCAAAAUGAUAUGAUCAAGAAACUUUUUUUUUGGCAUGAUCACCUGGAUGUACAGGACGUCGUCGGCGGGGUGCGCAUUGACGAGGUAGUCCAUGAUCCAGCGCAGCGCGUCGAGGGCGGAGUCCCGCUGCUUGGCGGCCUCCAUGGCGCCGCCGUACUCGAGGACGGACCACGACAGCAUGGUGGCCGUGAACGCCAGCGGGAAGCCAAACUUGAUGUGAUCGCCGGCGUCGUACAUCCCCCGGGAGAGGUCCAGCCCGGCCUCCUGCCCGUCGUCCACCGCCGAGUCACCCCUCCACGGGAUCUGGUUCUUCACCAGCUUCCCGGCUGCAUCACCGAUCGAACAACACAAGAACAGAAAAUUUUCAAUUUAAGCGAAGAAUAAUGCGGCGGUUUGGGUGGACCAUGUGCGCGCGUGCCGUGCGUGCGUACAUUUCUGGACCUGGAAGAACUGGAGGGCCACGGCGAGCGCCUCGGCGUACUUGUGGUCGACGGAGCCGGGGACGGGGCGGUCGCCGCCGCCGCCGCCGCCGUUCCUGUUGCGGAGGAACACGACGGCGGCCGUGAUGCCGAGCGCGACGAGCAGCAGCACCAGGACGCAGCAGCAGCCCCGCACGCAGCGCGCCAUUGUUGAAUGGCUGCGCGGUGGCCCCUAGUUCCUCCUCCCGCGGAUCAGCGGCCCGAUCGACCCCGCGAAAUUGUCGAUCGAUCUCCGGGACGGCCGAUCGGUUGCAUCGACGAAGCGGAAGGGAUUAAGACCACAGGAGGGACUGCACGCGUCGCCAACUGAUUAGGCGCGACGUCGGUCGAGGUAACCGACCGAAACAGCGCGCGCGGGCGGGCGGGCAGACGUGCCGCCGGUGAUGGGAAGGAGGGACGCGCGCGUGGGUGGGGAGUUAGAGGCUGGCCAUGACCGUCUCCCCAUGAUCAGUUGCUGACACGUAUGAUCGACCCCUUCUUGUGGUUGCAGUUACCGAAUGCCACGUAGAUGCAGGCAGGGUUCAAAAUUUCAACCAAAUUUGACUGCUCUAAACAAAACAAGUUUUUGCUGGGAACUGAUUUUUUUUUUGCGGGUGCGGGUACUGAAAUAUUUGUUACCCCGAGAUUUGGUUAAAAUCCAGUGAAUUUCGAUACAUCGAGUCACACUUAAAAAAAUUUGAGCUUGAACGAAUUUCUAAACUAUCAAGAUUUUGGAUAUUUUGGCGAGGCCUGGAAUGAAACCAAGGAUGCAUGACUCGAUGUACUCCCAAAAUUUAAAACCAAGGAUGCAUGGAUUUCUAGGGAGGCUCAACUUUGCAAAGUCGCGCGGAUAUGCAAUGUACUCCCUCCGUUCACAAAUAUAAGAUGUUCUAACAUUUGUCAAAAUCGGAUGUAUAUUGACGCGUUUAAUUGUGUUUAUUCACUCAUUUUAGUCUGUAUGCAGUUCAUCUUGAAAUAUCCAAAAUAUCUUAUAAUUUGAAGGGAGUACAUCUGGUUAAUGUACAGUCUUGAAAAAAGAAAUCAAUAAGAGGAGCUCCCAUCCCUUUUGCAAAAAAAAAAGCUCCCAUCCCUUUACUUUUUUUUACUUGAAUGAAACCAUAUGUACGACGAAGUUCAAUAAAAAUGAAAAUAAAGCCAGUACCUAAAACAAAACAUACAAAUCACUAUGGCACAAUAACAACCUUCACCAUGUGAACAACGAUCAAUUGGAACUACUAGGGAGCAGAUCUAGAUGAGAGCUCUGACCUCCUCAUUGUUGUGCUUCUGUUCUUUUACAGUGCAGUGGCUCCAGGAAUUGGUGACCAGGAUUCCAUGUCAAGAGGCAAGGCCAGGCUAAUAAGAGCAAGGUCAAAAGGAAGUAAUAGUAUGUGGUGGUCUCGUGCCCCCACAUAGAAGAAAUGUGAUGGAACACCACACAGUUUAACCAUGUGCAUGGCAAAUGAGAUGGCGCAAAUGCGCAACCUGGAUGUGGGAAAAUGUAUGGAACCUAAUCCUUCCCUAGGUCCUUGUUGAAUCGAAUCCUACUCUCUUCAAUAUUGCUUUGGUUCAGUUUAUCUAUGUUGUGCUAUAUAGGGGAUUGAUUCUAAUAUUGUUUUAGUUGGAGACAUGGAGCAAGCUCGUGCGAAUAUGUAUUUUGCUAAACAAUUAGAGCUACAUAAAAUGCUAAAAGUGCUCCCCCCGUUUCUUUUUGGUCUGCAUAUAAAAAUUGGUCAAAGUCAAACUCUGUCAACUUUGACUAAGUUUAUAGAAAAAAAUAUCAAGAUUCACAAUAUGAAAUCAAUAUUGUUAGAUGUAUCAUGAAAUAAAUUUUCAUACCAUAUAGCUUUAGUAUUGUAGAUGUAGAUAUUUUUUCCUACAAAGUUGGUCAAACUUUAUUGACCAAAUAUUAUAUGCGGACCAAAAAGAAAUGAAGGGAGUAAAUCGGUUGACAAUUAUAGUGAUUUGCGAGAAUAACCCAAAGAAGUACUGUCAGGUGAUGAUGGCCCUAGCUUAUAUGUGGAGGCAAACUUUGUCACUUUUGGUAAAAGAAACAAAAAGAUGUGUGAGAGCCUUGAAUUGCCACUGUUAAACCCAAAACUAAAUUUGUGAGGAUAGAAGAAAAGAGGUUUAAUUUGGAAUGUCUCGUGGAUAUGUGAUACAAAAACAAAGGUUUAUCAAAGAAUCUGUCUUUAAUAAACAUUUAGAAUUUGUUGGGAUUUAUGAAACUAGGAAAGAACAAUUUGACAAUUAUGAGCUUAAAAGUAUAAGUGGUAUUUUUUUAUUGAAACUGGAUACCAUCUAGGGCUUUCGCUCGGGUUAUGUUAGUAGGUAUCAGGAACCACUCCUUGCAUAUUCUGCGUACUAUGGAUGGGAAGUGUUUGAAAUUAAAGUUGAGUUACAAGAAUGAUGAAUUCACUCGAAAUCUAGUGACACUACAUGGGGAGGAAAUUCUAAUUAAGUAACCUCAUAUCUCCCAGGCUUGUGGUGGACCAAAAAUGGUAGCAGGUGAUUUCAACAUCAUUAGGAAAGUAUGCGAUAGAAAAGAAAAGGAAAAACACUCUACAUAAUGGCGUAUGUACUAAAAUGUCUAUGUUGAGAGACGUAAAUCGAGUUAGAAGGAUCUAAGUGGUAGGAAAUUUACAUGGAGUAACAACCAAGUAGAUCAAACUUUGAGAAGAUCGAUACCUAGAGGUUUACUUUGUUAUGAUCUAGAGGAUAAAUUCCCCUUAAGCACAAUCACUGUUGGGGAACGCGGUAAUUUCAAAAAAAAUCCUACACACACACGCAAGAUCCAUCUAGGUGAUGCAUAACAACGAGAGGGGAGAGUGUUGUCCACGUACCCUCGUAGACCGAAAGCGGAAGCGUUAUGACAACGCGGUUGAUGUAGUCGUAUGUCUUCACGAUCCGACCGAUCCUAGUACCGAAAGUACGACACCUCCGCGAUCUGCACACGUUCAGCUCGGUGACGUCCCACCACUAGUAGAAAAAGGGUCAUCUGUCCCGGUUGGUAAGGGCCUUUUGUUCCGGUUUUUAAACCGGGACUAAAGGGUCGUUACUAAUGCCCUAGCCCUUUAGUCCCGGUUCUUACACGAACCGGGAUAGAUGGGCCUCCACGUGGCCGGUGCGGCGAGCCCAGGCAGGAGGGCCUUUGGUUCCGGUUGGUGGCACUAACCGGGACCAAUAGGCAUCCACGCGUCAGCAUUUCACGGGCUGGGGUUUUUGUUUUUUUGAANNNNNNNNNNNNNNNNNNNNNNNNNNNNNNNNNNNNNNNNNNNNNNNNNNNNNNNNNNNNNNNNNNNNNNNNNNNNNNNNNNNNNNNNNNNNNNNNNNNNNNNNNNNNNNNNNNNNNNNNNNNNNNNNNNNNNNNNNNNNNNNNNNNNNNNNNNNNNNNNNNNNNNNNNGGGGGGUUGGGGGUUUUGGGGGGUUAAUUUAGGUGUUUCAUAUAUUGUGUUAGCUAGCUAAUUAAUAAAGAGAAGUGUCCUCUCUUAUCUCCGUGCUUGGUUGACGCUACGUACUAUAUACGUAUAGAGAGGACUAGACAUGCUAGCUAGUAAGAAAAUGAAGGAAACAGAAGAUCGUCAUGAACAUAUGCAUACAAAGAGAAGUGAUAUCGACCACCUCUCCUUCUUCGAGAGAUUGGUCGAACAACAAGUUCUCGUAUAUCUAUCCGACACUACUGGCUACAUAUAACAAUAAUUAUCUCUUACAAUAUAAUCUCCUAAUUAUAUACGAAGUCAAGGUCCACAUGGUAUUCUCCGUCUUCAGCGAUCACGUGGUCAAGGAAGAAUGCCGCCAAUUCCUCUUGAAUUGCUCGCAUACGAUCUGGUGCUAGGAGUUCAUCCCGCAUCCGAAAGAUCUAAUUUGAAGAAGGGGGUCAAUACAUACAUAUAUAUAUAUAUAUAUAUAUAUAUAUAUAUAUAUAUAUAUAUAUAUAUAUAUNNNNNNNNNNNNNNNNNNNNNNNNNNNNNNNNNNNNNNNNNNNNNNNNNNNNNNNNNNNNNNNNNNNNNNNNNNNNNNNNNNNNNNNNNNNNNNNNNNNAUAUAUAUGAAUAAAUGAAACUCAACACAAAUGAUGGUAAUAAAAUAAAAUUGUGAAUAUUAUUGCUUACGCACUUCAUAUUGUUCGUCAGAGUAGCCCCGCUCACAGGUCGUGUGGCGGAUGGACUCGCAAACGUAGUAUCCACAGAAAUCAUUCCCUUGUUCCUGCCACAACCACUUUACAAGAAAUAGAGGUCAAUCAAACUGAUAAGCAAGCAUGCUAAAUGGUAUUGAUGAAACUAGCACUUAAAUCACUAGGAGAUGCGCGAAACAUGCUACUAUAGUACUUACUUUCGGGUGUCUAAAUUGCAGCUUCUUCGGCAGUCCCGGAGCUUUUUUGGUGAAUUAUCUCCAAACCCUGCCAGAGAAAGAAAACAAUUACUUGAUAUCAGGAAAUGAACAAAGUUGCUGAUAUGGUGGAUAAUGAUCGAUUUAACUUACUUCUCGAGCAUUUGAGUCAUGUCCGCAUAGUCCUGGGGAUCUUUUUGUCUCGAGUCUAAGACGGUUACUACUCCCUGCUCAAGCUUAAUCUCUAGGAGAAUAUAGUGGAAGCUGUGCACGCAUGCAUAAGUCAUCAAUUACAUUACUAUAACCUGGACUAAUAAGGGAAACCGAAUAUGCACAAGACAGUAACACUCACUUGAAGUUGUAAGGAAAGAGUAUUAUAUCUUUGUUUUCAUUUAUUACCAACGAUCGUAGCAAGUUGGCCUCGGUAUUUUCGGCAUGAUAUUUAACCUCAGUUGCAUCUAUGAGAUUUGUGUUAAUGAAUCCAAUAUCACCGAUUUGUAUUUUCUUCAAUUCAGCGAUCUUCAAUCUGCAUAAUAUAGUGAGGAUAAUUAUAAAUACAUGCAAUGAAAGAGCUGACCUAUAUAGAGAGACUUAAUGACAGAAGUAGUACUACUUACAGACAGUAGCAAGUGACUGUUGAUUUAUCGAGGGCCUUUUGAUUGAAAAACUGGAAGAACUCCUCAAAUGGAACAUUCAACAGUUCAAUUCCAACGAGGUCAUGCUCCUCUUUAACUCUCAGCAUCAAAGUAUCCCUCCCCCCAGACUCUCUGCAGGUUUUCAUGUACCAAUCAUGUAAUCUUCGCAUCAUCGUUGUUAGAGAUCUUUCAUCUUUGACGAGAGGCUUCCCGUAAUGGUAUUUGUGUUCGUCCACCUCCAAGAAAUCAUAAUGUACAUCGUCGGGCAGGUAAUCUCCAAGAUUGCUAUAACCGGCCACCAUCCUCGGAUCAUUAGCGACGAUGUCGCUAGACACCUUGAGCGGGGGGCACGAUUGGUUCGCUUGUUCGCCGAGCUGGGCAAUUUUUCUCCCAGCUCGUCGUUCUUUUAACCUUUGAUCACUGGCAGUACUUCCCGACCACUCCGUUUCGACAAAUGUCUUUGCAAGAAUGCACUCAUAGUUGCCUUUCGGCGGAGACUUUGGUGGUUUUGUCAGGGCAGCCAGAGUGCGCUUCGCUUUCACCGGAUCUACCUUCUCCUCCGGAGGUGGAUGUUUCUUUGCUUUCACCCCUUCAAAGAAGUUCUUCACUUCGGCUCGCACGAUCUUCGUGGUUUCCUCCUCGGUCCUCUCGUAUGGUAACUUCUCUGGAGUCUUCAGAGAAGGACCGAAUCUGUAUUGCCUCCCGCCUCUGGCUGUACUGCUAGACGCCGGCAGAGCAGACGGAGCGGCUGCGGCUGUCUUCUUUCCUUGCUUAAGAGGCGGAGGAGAAGGACUACGACGCGUCGGAGCAGCCGGAGCGGCGGCGGGUCUCUUCCGCCCUUGCUGACGAGGCGGAGAAGGAGGAGACUGGCUGCUCGGGCGCGCCAGCGCAGGCGGAGAAGGAGGCGGAGUGCCGCCACGCGCCGGAGAAGGAGGCUGAGUGCCCUGAUCACUCGCCGGAGGAGGAGGCGGAGGAGGAGGUGGAGUGCCGCCACACGCCAGAAGGAGGCUGAGUGCCCUUACUCGCCGGAGGCGUCCAGUUCGGAAGGUUGAUGAGCUCCUUCCGCCAUAGGCAUGGAGUCUUUAGAGCAGAACCCAGCCGAGUCUCCCCUUCACCGGUAGGGUGGUCAAGCUGGAGGUCCUCAAAUCCCUCCGUUAUUUCGUCCACCGUCACCCUAGCAUAUCCUUCUGGAAUCGGACGACAGUGAAAAGUUGUGCCGGGUUCAGGAGGUCGAACAGAGCCGACAACCGCCUUGACUUUGAAGUUCUCCCAUCGCGUCAUAAGGUGGCAAUGUUGAGACUCCGUGAUAGCAUCCACGGGGUAGCUAGCAGGAGCCGUCAAGACAUGCUCCGGCUGAAGCAGCUCGGUGGAAGCCACGCUGCUUCUCCGCUGAGAUGGCGGGGUAGCUUCGGGGGUAGUUUCGGCAGGUCGAUUGCUGCGAGCUAUGUCUCGUUCCUCUAGCGCUUGAACCCUUUCGUGUAGCUUCUAAAUUUCGGUCUGCUCCACUUUUUUCCUCCUCUCCUGGCAUUUUAACCGCCUGCGUCCGGAAAACCAGCCUUCCACGGAACGGAGCCUGGCGUGCCUCGUGUCCGUCCAGGGUGCUCAGGAUUCCCGAGGGCCAUUGUGAGCUCGUCGUUCUCUCUGUCUGGAACGAACGUCCCUUGGUGCGCUGCAUCGAUAUAGUGCUGAAGCCUCUUGACUGGUAUUCUCAUUUGCUCGUCCAUCCAAACGCACUUCCCUGAUACAGGGUCCAAGGUUCCGCCAGACCCGAAGAACCAAGUCCGGCAACGGUCUGGCCAAUUCAUUGUCUCUGGUUCGAUCCCUUUAUCAAGCAGAUCAUUCUCAGCCUUGGCCCACUUAGGCCGGGCUUUGAGGUAGCCACCUGACCCCGUGCGAUGGUGAAGCUUCUUCUUCGCAGCAUUUUUCUCGUUUGUCGCUGACAACUUCUUACUCUUUUCCGAUGUCUUGUGGGCCACAAAUGCGGGCCAGUGAUCUCUGAUCUUCUCAUAUUUGCCGAUGAAUUCUGGUGUCUCUUCUUUGUCGACAAACGUUUUCAGCUCAUUCUUCCACCUCCUGAAUAGGUCUGCCAUCUUCUUAAGAGCAUGAGACUUGAUUAAUUGCUCUUUAACUGGCUUCUCCGGAUCCUCCUCUGGCGGUAGGGUGAAAUUUGCCUUUAGCUCAGUCCAAAGAUCAUCUUUCUGCAUAUCAUUGACAUAAGACACCUCAGGGUCUUCCUUCUUAGGCUUAUACCAUUGGUGGAUGCUGAUCGGGAUCUUGUCCCUAACAAGAACCCCGCACUGAGCAGCAAAUGCUUCCUUUGUCCGGAUGGGUUCAAUCGGUUGGCCGUCGCACGCGAUUGCUGUGAUCUCAAACCUUUCAUCCGAGCGCAACUUUCUCUUCGGGCCUUGUCUCUUUACCGAAGUUGUGCUCGAUCCGGAGGGCUAGAAAAAAGAAGAAAGAUGAGAGUUAAUUAAUAUGUGUACAUACCAAAACAAUGAAUGCAUCAAUUAGCUAGUCAGCACAGGCUUAACUAAUAUAUUUACCUGGCCGGACUCUGUUCGGUCACCGGAGCCGUCACCACGGGCUCCUUCUUGCACCAGCAUUGGGUCACCGGAGCCAUCAUAAUCAUGUAUUUCCUCCUCCACUCUUCGAUCACCGUAGCCUGCUUCUUCACCCUGUUCUUCCAGACCAUCAUUGUCGUUAAGAUACGAUAAGACAUCACCUCCGGCUAAGAUUAUGUCCCCCAACACCUCUUCUGCUUCCUCGUCUCGUCCGUGCUCCAUUGUUUCUGCAAAUAUUACAACAUGGCAAUUAUUACACAAACAUGACAGCAGGUGGAUAUAUUAGUGCAAACGUAGACCUAGCUUAUUCCGGGUUUGGGGUGGCCUCAGCAACGCUUCAAGGGUAGGGGUGCGGCGGGAGGGGGUAGGAGACCGACAUCGUUUUUUUCUAGGGUUUGGGUGUCCUCGAGAGUUUUGGUCGAGCAAGAGGGCCGGGGGGUGCUCCCGUGGUAUUAGUUAUCACGGACGAAGUUAUCCGGGAGGGGGUUAUAUCGACAACGACGACAUACAUACAUGGGAAAAUAAUGUUAUCGGGGAGGGGGUAGGUCGAACCCCCCCUCGUGUUGAAGUUAUUGGGACACGGGGUAUAUCGACAACGACAUAUCCGAUAAAAAGUAAGAAGACGAAGAAGAAAUAAAAAGAGGAGUUCUAUUUUCUCUUCUUCUCCUCUAUUCCUUUCUUCUUCUCCUCUUCUUUUUCUUCUUUUUUCUUCUUCUUAUUUUCCUUUUUCCUCUCCUUCUUUUUCUUCUUCUUCAUUAUCUUCCUAGCUAGAUAUAUAAUACUUUUCUAAAAAUGUAACUUUUGCAUAUAUAAAACUUUUUCUUCUUCUUCCUUCUUCCUUCUCUUCCUUCUUUUCCUAAAUAUAUAAAACUUUUCUAAAAAUGAAACUAACCUAAAAUGUACCCAAAUGUACUAAAAAUCUAACUUUUAUAUGCACAGAGAACAUACAUACAUAUAUACAUUUUUAUAAAAAUGCAAAAAACAAAUCAUCAUAUAUAUGAAUAAAAAACAGAGAGGAAGGCCGGCGGCCGGACCGAACGUGGCGGCNNNNNNNNNNNNNNNNNNNNNNNNNNNNNNNNNNNNNNNNNNNNNNNNNNNNNNNNNNNNNNNNNNNNNNNNNNNNNNNNNNNNNNNNNNNNNNNNNNNNNNNNNNNNNNNNNNNNNNNNNNNNNNNNNNNNNNNNNNNNNNNNNNNNNNNNNNNNNNNNNNNNNNNNNNNNNNNNNNNNNNNNNNNNNNNNNNNNNNNNNNNNNNNNNNNNNNNNNNNNNNNNNNNNNNNNNNNNNNNNNNNNNNNNNNNNNNNNNNNNNNNNNNNNNNNNNNNNNNNNNNNNNNNNNNNNNNNNNNNNNNNNNNNNNNNNNNNNNNNNNNNNNNNNNNNNNNNNNNNNNNNNNNNNNNNNNNNNNNNNNNNNNNNNNNNNNNNNNNNNNNNNNNNNNNNNNNNNNNNNNNNNNNNNNNNNNNNNNNNNNNNNNNNNNNNNNNNNNNNNNNNNNNNNNNNNNNNNNNNNNNNNNNNNNNNNNNNNNNNNNNNNNNNNNNNNNNNNNNNNNNNNNNNNNNNNNNNNNNNNNNNNNNNNNNNNNNNNNNNNNNNNNNNNNNNNNNNNNNNNNNNNNNNNNNNNNNNNNNNNNNNNNNNNNNNNNNNNNNNNNNNNNNNNNNNNNNNNNNNNNNNNNNNNNNNNNNNNNNNNNNNNNNNNNNNNNNNNNNNNNNNNNNNNNNNNNNNNNNNNNNNNNNNNNNNNNNNNNNNNNNNNNNNNNNNNNNNNNNNNNNNNNNNNNNNNNNNNNNNNNNNNNNNNNNNNNNNNNNNNNNNNNNNNNNNNNNNNNNNNNNNNNNNNNNNNNNNNNNNNNNNNNNNNNNNNNNNNNNNNAAAAUACUUCGAUAAUUUUAGUUGCAUCAAUUUUAUAUAAUUUUAGUUUCAAUAAUACUAGAGGUUGCUUAUAAUGUUUUGAACAGAAAAUACUUUGAUAAUUUUAGUUUCAUAAAUUUUAUUUAUGUUAUUAAAGUUUAUUUUAUUUUGUUUGUACUUAUAUAUUUUAUUAAAGUUUAUAUUAUUUUGUUUCUAAUUACUUAUUUAUUUUAUUUGUUAUUUUUCAUGCACUAUUUUUCAUGCAUUUACUGAUUAUUUUGAGCUAUAAGACCCUAAAAUUGAAAAGCAUUUCAAAUGAACUCUGAAAAGGUUGAAAGUUGGCAUGGUAUCAUCAUUUCAUCCACAUAGCAUGUGCAAGAAAGUUGAGAGGGUUACGGUAAAAACUGGAUGCACUUCGUGUACAAGACGGACAAUCUCUUUCGAAGUAUCAGGAUUUCAUACGGAAACUCGUCUGUUACAAAGGGAUUUUAUUUUUUAAAACAUAUUUGAACUCCUGACUUUUUGUGUGUUCAAAAUGCACCAUUCAAAGCCACAUCAUCAAUUUUCAACCCUUUCUGACUUCAUUUCUUAUUUUUCAUGCAUUUAUUGAUUAUUUUGAGCUAUAAGACCCUGAAAUUGAAAAGCAUUUCAAAUGAACUCUGAAAAGGUUGAAAGUUGGCAUGGUAUCAUCAUUUCAUCCACAUAGCAUGUGCAAGAAAUUUGAGAGGGUUACGGCAAAAACUGGAUGCACAUCGUGUACAAAACGGACAACGGUAUCAUACUCGUCUGUUACAAAGUUGGCAUGGUAUCAUCAUAAUAGUUGCGGCAGAAAGUCUUCACUUUUUCUUCGCUUGUGUCAUUUGCUUAUUGCGCCGUAACCAUGGAUAAUCUUCAUCGUUUAUCAGGAUGCUUGGGUCAGCCUUGACUUUGAAGGGGGGAAUUUCAUGAAACUUUUCAUAAUCUUCAGACAUGUCUGUCUUGCCCUCCACUCCCACGAUGUCCCUUUUUCCUGAAAGAACUAUGUGGCGCUUUGGCUCAUCGUAUGAUGUAUACGCUUCCUUAUCUUUUCUUUUUCUCGGUUUGGUAGACAUGUCCUUCACAUAGAUAACCUGUGCCGCAUCAUUGGCUAGGACGAACGGUUCGUCAGCGUACCCAAGGUUUUUCAGAUCCACUGUUGUCAUUCCGUACUGUGGGUCUACCUGUACCCCGCCUCCUGACAGAUUGACCCAUUUGCACUUAAACAAAGGGACCUUAAAAUCAUGUCCGUAGUCAAGUUCCCAUAUGUCCACUAUGUAACCAUAAUAUGUGUCCUUUCCCCUCUCGGUUGUUGCAUCAAAGCGGACACCGCUGUUUUGGUUGGUGAUCUUUUGAUCUUGGGCAAUCGUGUAAAAUGUAUUCCCAUUUAUCUCGUAUCCUUUGUAAGUCAAUACAGUCAAAAGAUGGUCCCCUGGACAACGAGUACAGCUCAUCACAAACAGUGUUGUCACCUCUGAGACGUGUUUCCAACCAACUGCUGAAAGUCCUGAUGUGUUCACAUAUAAUCCAGUCGUCGCACUGCUCCGGGUGUUUGGAGCGCAGACUGUUCUUGUGUUCAUCGACAUACGGGGUCACUAAGGUAGAGUCUGUAGAACUGUGUAGUGCGCUUGAGACCAAGAAUGCCCGUCCCUGCAUAUUAUUGAGUCCGCUCCUAGCGUGCCUUUUCCAGUCAGUCUCCCCUCAUACCGCGAUUUAGGGAGACCUAUCUUCUUAAGGCCAUGAAUGAAGUCAACACAAAAUCCAAUGACAUCCUCUGUUUGAUGGCCCAUGGAGAUGCUUCCUUCUGGCCUAGCGCCGUUACGGACAUAUUUCUUUAGGACUCCCAUGAACCUCUCAAAGGGGAACAUAUUGUGUAGAAAUACGGGCCCCAGAAUGACAAUCUCGUCGACUAGAUGAACUAGGACGUGUGUCAUGAUAUUGAAGAAGGAUGGUGGGAACACUAGCUCGAAACUGACAAGACAUUGCGCCACAUCACUCCUUAGCCUUGGUAUGAUUUCUGGAUCGAUCACCUUCUGAGAGAUUGCAUUGAGGAAUCCACAUAGCUUCACAAUGGCUAAUCGGACGUUUUUCGGUAGAAGCCCCCUCAAUGCAACCGGAAGCAGUUGCGUCAUAAUCACGUGGCAGUCAUGAGACUUUAGGUUCUGGAACUUUUUCUCUGGCAUAUUUAUUAUUCCCUUUAUAUUCGACGAGAAGCCAGUCGGGACCUUCAUACUGAGCAGGCAUUUAAAGAAGACUUCUUUCUCUUCUUUCGUAAGAGCGUAGCUGGCAGGACCUUCAUACUGCUUCGGAGGCAUGCCAUCUUUUUCAUGCAAACGUUGCAGGUCCUCCCGUGCCUCAGGUGUAUCUUUUGUCUUCCCAUACACGCCCAAGAAGCCUAGCAGGUUCACGCAAAGGUUCUUCGUCACGUGCAUCACGUCGAUUGAAGAGCGGACCUCUAGGUCUUUCCAGUAGGGUAGGUCCCAAAAUAUAGAUUUCUUCUUCCACAUGGGUGUGUGUCCCUCAGCGUCAUUCGGAACAGCUAGUCCGCCGGGACCCUUUCCAAAGAUUACGUGUAAAUCAUUGACCAUAGCAAGUACGUGAUCACCGGUACGCAUGGCGGGCUUCUUCCGGUGAUAUGCCUCGCCUUUGAAAUGCUUGCCUUUCUUUCGACAUUGAUGGUUGGUCGGAAGAAAUCGACGAUGGCCCAUGUACACAUUCUUCAUGCAUUUGUCCAGGUAUAUACUUUCAGUGUCAUCUAAACAGUGUGUGCAUGCGUGGUAUCCCUUGUUUGUCUGUCCUGAAAGGUUACUAAGAGCGGGCCAAUCGUUGAUGGUUACAAACAGCAAUGCGUGCAGGUUAAAUUCCUCCUAUUUGUGCUCAUCCCACGUACGUACACCGUUUCCAUUCCACAGCUGUAAAAGUUCUUCAACUAAUGGCCUUAGGUACACAUCAAUGUCGUUGCCGGGUUGCUUAGGGCCUUGGAUGAGAACUGGCAUCAUAAUGAACUUCCGCUUCAUGCACAUCCAAGGAGGAAGGUUAUACAUACAUAGAGUCACGGGCCAGGUGUUGUGAUUGUUGCUCUGCUCCCCAAAAGGAUUAAUGCCAUCCACGCUUAAACCAAACCAUACGUUCCUUGGGUCAGCUGCAAACUCAGCCCAGUACUUUCUCUCAAUUUUUCUCCACUGCGACCCGUCAGCAGGUGCUCUCAACUUCCCGUCUUUCUUACGGUCCUCACUGUGCCAUCGCAUCAACUUGGCAUGCUCUUUGUUUCUGAACAGACGUUUCAACCGUGGUAUUAUAGGAGCAUACCACAUCACCUUCGCAGGAACCCUCUUCCUGGGGGGCUCACCGUCAACAUCACCAGGGUCAUCUCGUCUGAUCUUAUACCGCAAUGCACCGCAUACCAGGCAUGCGUUCAGAUCCUUGUACGCACCACGGUAGAGGAUGCAGUCAUUAGGGCAUCCAUGUAUCUUCUACACCUCCAAUCCUAGAGGGCAUACGACCUUCUUUGCUGCGUAUGUACUGUCGGGCAAUUCGUUAUCCUUUGGAAGCUUCUUCUUCAAUAUUUUCAAUAGCUUCUCAAAUCCUUUGUCAGGCACAACAUUCUCUUCCUUCCACUGCAGCAAUUCCAGUACGGUACCGAGCUUUGUGUUGCCAGCUUUGCAAUUGGGGUACAACCCUUUUUUGUGAUCCUCUAACAUGCGAUCGAACUUCAGCUUCUCCUUUUGACUUUCGCAUUGCGUCCUUGCAUCGACAAUGACCCGGCGGAGAUCAUCAUCAUCGGGCACUGGUUCCUCUUGAUCUUCAGCAGCUUCCCCCAUUGCAGCAUCAUUGGGCACAUCGUCUGGUUCCUCUUGAUCUUCAGCAGCUUCCCCCAUUGCAGCAUCACCGUAUUCAGGGGGCACAUAGUUGUCAUCGUCCUCUUCUUCUUCGUCGUCUUCCAUCAUAACCCCUAUUUCUCCAUGCCUCGUCCAAACAUUAUAGUGUGGCAUGAAACCCUUGUAAAGCAGGUGGGUGUGAAGGAUUUUCCGGUCAGAGUAAGACUUCGUAUUCCCACAUUUAGGGCAUGGACAACACAUAAAACCAUUCUGCUUGUUUGCCUCAGCCACUUCGAGAAAAUUAUGCACGCCCUUAAUGUACUCGGAGGUGUGUCUGUCACCGUACAUCCAUUGCCGGUUCAUCUGCGUGCAUUAUAUAUAAUUAAGUGUGUCUAAAACCAUUACAGAACAUCAUGAAUAGAUAAUUAAGUGACCAAAUUAAUAGAAGUUCAUCAUCACAUUAAAACCAAAGUACAUACAUAGUACUCAUCUAACAACAUAUAGCUCUCCAGAGCAUCUAAUUAAUUAAACCAUACAUUGAAACUAUGUAAAACAUUUCAAUGCGAAAACAAAUGCGAUCAUAAUCGCAACCAAGGUAACAAUUAAUCCAACGGCAUAAUGAUACCAAGCCUCGGUAUGAAUGGCAUAUUUGCUAAUCUUUCUAAUCUUCAAGCGCAUUGCAUCCAUCUUGAUCUUGUGAUCAUCGACGACAUCCGCAACAUGCAACUCCAAUAUCAUCUUCUCCUCCUCAAUUUUUUUUAUUUUUUCCUUCAAGAAAUUGUUUUCUUCUUCAACUAAAUUUAACCUCUCGACAAUAGGGUCAGUUGGAAUUUCCGGUUCACAUACCUCCUAGAUAAAUAAAAUCUAUGUCACGUUGGUCGGCAUAAUUUUCAUAAACAAUAAAUGAACCAAUAGUUAUAAAAAUAAUAUAUACCACAUCCGAAUCAUAGACAGGACGAGGGCCGACGGGGGCGGAUACCAAAACCAUCGCACUAUAUAAUAACAAGCAAUAAAAUAGUAAGAAAAUUAGACAAGUAUCUAUCUAAAGUAAGAAUUUUUUUCUUUCAGAAAGAAGAUAAGAACAAGAGGCUCACCACGGUGGUGCCGGCGACGAGAUCGGCGCGGGUGAUCGACGGCGGUGAAGACGGGAAUGGGACGUGACGGGCCGCUAAACCUAGACAAAUCUCGAGGAAAAUGGAGCUUUGAGGUCGAGCUUCGAGAGGAGAAAGCUUAACUAGUGUGGCUCGGGCAUUUCAUCGAACACCUCAUGUGCAUAAGAGGUGAGCUAGAGCACCACAAAGCCCUCCCCUCGCCGGCCAAACAAAAACAGAACACUGGAGUGCUAUGCUCGCGGGCGAGGGGUAUAUAUAGGCACCUCAUUGGUCCCGGUUCGUGGCAUGAACCGGGACUAAAGGGCUGCCUGUGUUCCCGGUUCAAGCCACCAACCGGGACCAGUGGUGGUGGGCCAGGAGCAAGGCCCAUUGGUCCCGGUUCGUCCCACUAACCGGGACCAAAGGGGCCAGACGAAACGGGACCAAUGCCCCCAUGAGGCCCGGCAGGCCCCUGGCCUCACGAACCGGGACCAGUGCCCCCAUUGGUCCCGGUUCUGGACUGAAUCGGGACUAAUGGGCUGACCCGGCCUGAACCAAAGCCCUCUUUUCUACUAGUGCACGAACUCUAGAUCCAGAUGAGUGUCGAGGGAGAGCUUCGUCAGCACGACGGCGUGAUGACGGUGAUGAUGAAGUUACCGACGUAGGGUGCUACCUCUUGAACACUGCGUUGGUUUUCCCUUGAAGAGGAAAGGGUGAUGCAGUAAAGUAGCGUAAGUAUUUCCCUUAGUUUUUUGAGAAUCAAGGUAUCAAUCCAGUAGGAGGCCACGCACAAGUCCCUCGCACCUACACAAACAAAUAAAGCCUCGCAACCAACGCAAUAAAGGGGUUGUCAAUCCCUUCACGGUCACUUACGAAAGUGAGAUCUGAUAGAUAUGAUAAGAUAAUAUUUUUGGUAUUUUUAUAAUAAAGAUGCAAAGUAAAAUAAAAGCAAAAUAAACGGCACCAGAAAUAGCUUGUUGUCGGGAGAUUAAUAUGAUGGAAAAUAGACCCGGGGGCUAUAGGUCUAGUGGCUUCUCUCAAGAGCAUAAGUAUUACGGUGGGUGAACAAAUUACUGUUGAGCAAUUGAUAGAAUUGAGCAUAGUUAUGAGAAUAUCUAGGUAUGAUCAUGUAUAUAGGCAUCACGUCCGUGAUAAGUAGACCGACUCCUGCCUGCAUCUACUACUAUUACUCCACACAUCGACCGCUAUCCAGCAUGCAUCUAGAGUAUUAAGUUCAUAAGAAUAGAGUAAUGCUUUAAGCAAGAUGACAUGAUGUAGAGGGAUAAACUCAUGCAAUAUGAAAUAAACCCCAUUUUGUUAUCCUCGAUGGCAACAAUACAAUAUGUGCCUUGCUACCCCUACUGUCACUGGGAAAGGACACCGCAAGAUUGAACCCAAAGCUAAGCACUUCUCCCAUUGCAAGAAAGAUCAAUCUAGUAGGCCAAACCAAACUGAUAAUUCGAAGAGACUUGCAAAGAUAACCAAUCAUACAUAAAAUAAUUCAGAGAAGAUUCAAAUAUUGUUCAUAGAUAAACUUGAUCAUAAACCCACAAUUCAUCGGUCUCAACAAGCACACCGCAAAAGAAGAUUACAUCGAAUAGAUCUCCACAAGAGAGGGGGAGAACAUUGUAUUGAGAUCCAAAAAGAGAGAAGAAGCCAUCUAGCUAAUAACUAUGGACCCGAAGGUCUGAGGUAAACUACUCACACAUCAUCAGAGAGGCUAUGGUGUUGAUGUAGAAGCCUUCCGUGAUCAAUGCCCCCUCCGGUAGGAUGCCGGAAAAGGCCCCAAGAUGGGAUCUCACAGGUACAAAAGGUUGCGGUGGUGGAAUUAGGUUUUCGUGGAUGCCUCUGUUGGUUUGGGGGUACGUAGGUAUAUAUAGGAGGAGGAAGUACGUCGGUGGAGCAACAUGGGCCCCACGAGGGUGGAGGGCGCGCCCAGGGGGUAGGCGCGCCCCCUACCUCGUGCCCUCCUGGUUGCUUUCUUGACGUAGGGUCCAAGUCCUCUGGAUCACGUUCGUUCCGAAUAUCACGUUCCCAAAGGUUUCAUUCCGUUUGGACACCGUUUCAUAUUCUUUUUCUGCGAAACUCUGAAAUUGGCAAAAAAACAGCAAUUUGGGUUGGGCCUCCGGUUAAUAGGUUAGUCCCAAAAAUAAUAUAAAAGUGUAUAACAAAGCCCAUUAAUCAUCCAAAACAGAAUAUAAUAUAGCAUGAAGCAAUCAAAAAUUAUAGAUACGUUGGAGACGUAUCAAGCAUCCCCAAGCUUAAUUCCUACUCGUCCUCGAGUAGGUAAAUGAUAAAAACAGAAUUUUUGAUGCGGAAUGCUACUUAGCAUGAUUUUUAAUGCAACCCUCUUAAUUGUGGUAUGAAUAUUCAGAUCCGAAAGAUUCAAGAUAAAAGUUUAAUAUUGACAUAAAAGUAAUAAUACUUCAAGCAUACUAACUAAGCAAUUAUGUCUUCUCAAAAUAACAUGGCCAAAGAAAGUUCAUCCCUAAAAAAUCAUAUAGUUUAGUCAUGCUCCAUUUUCGUCACACAAGAAUGCUCUCAUCAUGCACAACCCCGAUGACAAGCCAAGAAAUUGUUUCAUACUUUCGUAAUCUCAAACUUUUUCAACCUUCACGCAAUACAUGAGCGUGAGCCAUGGAUAUAGCACUUUGGGUGGAAUAGAAUAUAAUGAUGGGGGUUAUGUGGAGAAGACAAAAAAGGAGAAAGUCUCACAUCAACGCGGCUAAUCAACGGGCUAUGGAUGUUGGAAAUAUGCCCUAGAGGCAAUGAUAAAAUGGUUAUUAUUAUAUUUCCUUGUUCAUGAUAAUUGUCUAUUAUUCAUGCUAUAAUUGUGUUAUCCGGAAAUCGUAAUACAUGUGUGAAUACAUAGACCACAACAUGUCCCUAGUGAGCCUCUAGUUGACUAGCUCGUUGAUCAACAGAUAGUCAUGAUUUCCUGACUAUGGACAUUGGAUGUCAUUGAUAACGGGAUCACAUCAUUAGGAGAAUGAUGUGAUGGACAAGACCCAAUCCUAAGCAUAGCGCAAAGAUCGUGUAGUUCGUUUGCUAGAGCUUUUCCAAUGUCAAGUAUCUUUUCCUUAGACCAUGAGAUCGUGUAACUCCCGGAUGCCGUAGGAGUGCUUUGGGUGUACCAAACGUCACAACGUAACUGGGUGACUAUAAAGGUACACUACAGGUAUCUCUGAAAGUGUCUGUUGGGUUGACACGGAUCGAGACUGGGAUUUGUCACUCCGUAUGACGGAGAGGUAUCUCUGGGCCCACUCGGUAAUGCAUCAUCAUAAUGAGCUCAAUGUGACUAAGGAGUUAGCCACGGGAUCAUGCAUUACGGUACGAGUAAAGAGACUUUCCGGUAACGAGAUUGAAUAAGGUAUUGGGAUACCGACGAUCGAAUCUCGGGCAAGUAACAUACCGAUUGACAAAGGGAAUUGUAUACAAGAUUGAUUGAAUCCUCGACAUCGUGGUUCAUCCGAUGAGAUCAUCACGGAACAUGUGGGAGCCAACAUGGGUAUCCAGAUCCCGCUGUUGGUUAUUGACCGGAGAGUCGUCUCAGUCAUGUCUGCAUGUCUCCCGAACCCGUAGGGUCUACACACUUAAGGUUCGGUGACGCUAGGGUUGUAGAGAUAUUAGUAUGCGGUAACCCAAAAGUUUUUCGGAGUCCCGGAUGAGAUCCCGGAUGUCACGAGGAGUUCCGGAAUGGUCCGGAGGUAAAGAAUUAUAUAUAGGAAGUCCAGUUUCGGCCACCGGGAAAAUUUCGGGGGUCACCGGUAUUGUACCAGGACCACCGGAAGGGUCCCGGGGGUCCACCGGGUGGGGCCACCUAUCCCGGAGGGCCCCAUGGGCUGAAGUGGGGAGGCAAACCAGCCACUGGUGGGCUGGUGCGCCCCCCUUGGGCCUCCCCUGCGCCUAGGGUUGGAAACCCUGGGGGUGGGGGGGCGUCCCACUUGGCUUGGGGGGCAAGCCACCCCCUUGGCCGCCGCCCCCCUGGAGAUGGGAUCUCCCAGGGCCGGCGCCCCCCCUCAGGGACCCUAUAUAAAGGGAGGGGAGGAAGGGCAGCAGCAACCUAGCCCCUGGCGCCUCCCUCUCCCUCCCGUGACACCUCUCCCUCCCGCUUGCGCUUGGCAAAGCCCUGCCGGGAUCCCGCUACUUCCACCACCACGCCGUCGUGCUGCUGGAUCUCCAUCAACCUCUCCUUUCCCCUUGCUGGAUCAAGAAGGAGGAGACGUCUUCCCAACCGUACGUGUGUUGAACGCGGAGGUGCCGUCCGUUCGGCGCUCGGUCAUCGGUGAUUUGGAUCACGACGAGUACGACUCCAUCAACCUCGUUCACUUGAACGCUUCCGCUUGCUAUCUACAAGGGUAUGCAGAUGCACUCCUCUCUCUCGUUGCUAGAUGACUCCAUAGAUUGAUCUUGGUGAUGCGUAGAAAAUUUUAAAUUUCUGCUACGAUCCCCAACAGUGGUAUCAUGAGCCAGGUCUAUGCGUAGUUUCUAUGCACGAGUAGAACACAAACUUGUUGUGGGCGUAGAUGUUGUCAAUUUUCUUGCCACUACUAGUCUUAUCUUGUUCCGGCGGCAUCGUGGGAUGAAGCGGCCCGGACCGACCUUACACGUACGCUUACGUGAGACAGGUUCCACCGACUGACAUGCACUAGUUGCAUAAGGUGGCUAGCGGGUGUCUGUCUCUCCCACUUUAGUCGAAUCGGAUUCGAUGAAAAGGGUCCUUAUGAAGGGUAAAUAGAAGUUGGCAUAUCACGUUGUGGUUUUACGUAGGUAAGAAACGUUCUUGCUAGAAAGCUAUAGAAGCCACGUAAAAACAUGCAACAACAAUUAGAGGACGUCUAACUUGUUUUUGCAGCAUAUGCCUUGUGAUGUGAUAUGGCCAAAAGGAUGUGAUGAAUGAAAUAUAUGUGAUGUAUGAGAUUGAUCAUGUUCUUGUAAUAGGAAUCACGACUUGCAUGUCGAUGAGUAUGACAACCGGCAGGAGCCAUAGGAGUUGUCUUUAUUUUUUGUAUGACCUGCGUGUCAUUGAAUAACGCCAUGUAAAUUACUUUACUUUAUUGCUAAACGCGUUAGCCACAGAAGUAGAAGUAAUCGUUGGUGUGACAACUUCAUGGAGACAUGAUGAUGGAGAUCAUGGUGUCAUGCCGGUGACGAAGAUGAUCAUGGCGCCCCGAAGAUGGAGAUCAAAAGGAGCAAAAUGAUAUUGGCCAUAUCAUGUCACUAUUUGAUUGCAUGUGAUGUUUAUCAUGUUUUACAUCUUAUUUGCUUAGAACAACGGUAGCUUAAAUAAGAUGAUCCCUCACAAAAAUUUCAAGAAAAGUGUUCUCCCUAACUGUGCACCGUUGCGAAGGUUCGUUGUUUCGAAGCACCACGUGAUGAUCGGGUGUGAUAGAUUCUAACGUUCGCAUACAACGGGUGUUGACGAGCCUAGCAUGUACAGACAUGGCCUCGGAACACACGCAAUACACUUAGGUUGACUUGACGAGCCUAGCAUGUACAGACAUGGCCUCGGAACACGGAAGACCGAAAGGUCGAGCAUGAGUCGUAUAGAAGAUACGGUCAACAUGAAGAUGUUCACCGAUGUUGACUAGUCCGUCUCACGUGAUGAUCGGACACGGCCUAGUUAACUCGGAUCAUGUUUCACUUAGAUGACUAGAGGGAUGUCUAUCUGAGUGGGAGUUCAUUGAAUAAUUUGAUUAGAUGAACUUAAUUAUCAUGAACUUAGUCUAAAAUCUUUACAAUAUGUCUUGUAGAUCAAAUGGCCCAUGUAGCCCUCAACUUCAAUGCGUUCCUAGAGAAAACCAAGCUGAAAGAUGAUGGCAGCAACUAUACGGACUGGGUCCGGAACCUGAGGAUCAUCCUCAUAGCUGCCAAGAAAGAUUAUGUCCUAGAAGCACCGCUAGGUGAAGCACCCAUCCCAGAGAACCAAGACGUUAUGAACGCUUGGCAGUCACGUGCUGAUGAUUACUCCCUCGUUCAGUGCGGCAUGCUUUACAGCUUAGAACCAGGGCUCCAAAAGCGUUUUGAGAAACACGGAGCAUAUGAGAUGUUCGAAGAGCCGAAAAUGGUUUUCCAAGCUCAUGCCCGGGUCGAGAGAUAUGAAGUCUCCGACAAGUUCUUUAGUUCUAAAAUGGAGGGAAAUAGUUCUGUCAGUGAGCACAUACUCAAAAUGUCUGGGUUACGCAACCGCUUGUCUCAGCUGGGAGUUAAUCUCCCGGAUGACGCGAUCAUUGACAAAAUCCUUCAGUCGCUUCCACCGAGCUACAAGAGCUUUGUGAUGAACUUCAAUAUGUAGGGGAUGGAAAAGACCAUUCCUGAGGUAUAUUCAAUGCUGAAAUCAGCGGAGGUGGAGAUCAAAAAGGAACAUCAAGUGUUGAUGGUGAAUAAAACCACUAAGUUCAAGAAAGGCAAGGGUAAGAAAAACUUCAAGAAAGACGGCAAGGGAGUUGCCGCGCCCGGUAAGCCAGUUGCCGGGAAGAAGCCAAGGAAUGGACCCAAGCCUGAGACUGAGUGCUUUUAUUGCAAGGGAAGUGGUCACUGGAAGCGGAACUGCCCCAAAUAGUUAGCGGACAAGAAGGCCGGCAACACCAAAGGUAUAUGUGAUAUACAUAUAAUUGAUGUGUACCUUACCAGUACUCGUAGUAGCUCCUGGGUAUUUGAUACCGGUGCGGUUGCUCAUAUUUGUAACUCAAAACAGGAGCUGCGGAAUAAGCGGAGACUGGCGAAGGACGAGGUGACGAUGCGCGUCGGGAAUGGUUCCAAGGUCGAUGUGAUCGCCGUCGGCACGCUACCUCUACAUUUACCUACGGGAUUAGUUUUAAACCUCAAUAAUUGUUAUUUAGUGCCAGCUUUGAGCAUGAACAUUGUAUCAGGAUCUCAUUUAAUGCGAGAUGGCUACUCAUUUAAAUCCGAGAAUAAUGGUUGUUCUAUUUAUAUGAGAGAUAUGUUUUAUGGUCAUGCCCCGCUGGUCAAUGGUUUAUUCUUAAUGAAUCCCGAACGUGAUGUUACACAUAUUCAUAGUGUGAGUACCAAAAGAUGUAAAGUUGAUAACGAUAGUCCCACAUACUUGUGGCAUUGCCGCCUUGGUCACAUUGGUGUCAAGCGCAUGAAGAAGCUCCAUGCUGAUUGACUUUUAGAGUCUCUUGAUUACGAAUCAUUUGACACGUGCGAACCAUGCCUCAUGGGUAAGAUGACCAAGACUCCGUUCUCCGGAACAAUGGAGCGAGCAACCAACUUAUUGGAAAUCAUACAUACUGAUGUGUGCGGUCCAAUGAGUGUUGAGGCUCGCGGUGGCUAUCGUUAUGUUCUCACUCUCACUGAUGACUUGAGUAGAUACGGGUAUGCCUACCUAAUGAAACACAAGUCUGAGACAUUUGAAAAGUUCAAGGAAUUUCAGAAUGAGGUGGAGAAUCAACGUGACCGAAAGAUAAAGUUCUUACGAUCAGAUCGUGGGGGGGAAUAUUUAAGUCACGAAUUUGGCACACACUUAAGGAAAUGUGGAAUAGUUUCACAACUCACGCCGCCUGGAACACCUCAGCGAAAUGGUGUGUCCGAAUGUCGUAAUCGCACUCUAUUGGAUAUGGUGCGAUCUAUGAUGUCUCUUACCGAUCUACCGCUCUCAUUUUGGGGCUAUGCUUUAGAGACUGCCGCAUUCACUUUACAUAGGGCUCCGUCGAAACCCGUUGAGACGACACCGUAUGAAUUAUGGUUUGGGAAGAAACCUAAGCUGUCGUUUCUAAAAGUUUGGGGAUGCGAUGCUUAUGUCAAGAAACAUCAACCUGAAAAGCUCGAACCCAAAUCGGAAAAAUGCGUCUUCAUAGGAUACCCUAAGGAAACCAUUGGGUAUACCUUCUACCUCAGAUCCGAAGGCAAGAUCUUCGUUGCCAAGAACGGGUCCUUUCUGGAGAAAGAGUUUCUCUCGAAAGAAAUAAGUGGGAGGAAAGUGGAACUUGAUGAGGUGAUAGUCACCCCUUCCGAACCGGAAAGUAGCGCAGCGCGGGAAGAUGUUCCUGUGGUGCCUACACAGACUGGGGAGGAAGUUAAUGAUGAUGAUCAUGAAGCUUCGGAUCAAGUUACUGCUGAACUUCGUAGGUCCACAAGGACACGUUCCGCACCAGAGUGGUACGGCAACCCUGUCCUGGAAAUCAUGUUGUUAGACAACGGUGAACCUUCGAACUAUGAAGAAGCAAUGGCGGGCCCAGAUUCCGACAAAUGGCUAGAAGCCAUGAAAUCCGAGAUAGGAUCCAUGUAUGAAAACGAAGUAUGGACUUUGACUGACUUGCCCGAUGAUCGGCGAGCCAUAGAAAAUAAAUGGAUCUUUGAGAAGAAGACAGACGCGGAUGGUAAUGUGACCAUCUAUAAGGCUCGACUUGUCGCUAAGGGUUAUCGACAAGUUCAAGGGGUUGACUACGAUGAGACUUUCUCACCCGUAGCGAGGCUGAAGUCCGUCCGAAUCAUGUUAGCAAUUGCCGCAUUCUAUGAUUAUGAGAUAUGGCAAAUGGACGUCAAAACGGCAUUCCUUAACGGCUUCCUUAAGGAAGAAUUGUAUAUGAUGCAGCCGGAAGGUUUUGUCGAUCCUAAGAAUGCUGACAAAGUAUGCAAGCUCCAGCGCUCAAUCUAUGGGCUGGUGCAAGCAUCUCGGAGUUGGAACAUUCGCUUUGAUGAGAUGAUCAAAGCGUUUGGGUUUACACAGACUUAUGGAGAAGUCUGUGUUUACAAGAAAGUGAGUGGGAGCUCUGUAGCAUUUCUCAUAUUAUAUGUGGAUGACAUACUAUUGAUGGGAAAUGAUAUAGAAUUCUUGGAAAGUAUAAAGGCCUACUUGAAUAAGUGUUUUUCAAUGAAGGACCUUGGAGAAGCUGCUUAUAUAUUAGGCAUCAAGAUCUAUAGAGAUAGAUCAAGACGCCUCAUUGGUCUUUCACAGAGUACGUACCGCCUCAUUGGUCUUUCACAGAGUACGUACCUUGACAAGAUAUUGAAGAAGUUCAAUAUGGAUCAGUCCAAGAAGGGGUUCUUGCCUGUAUUGCAAGGUGUGCAAUUGAGUGCGGCUCAAUGCCCGACCACGGCAGAAGAUAGAGCAAAGAUGAGUGUCAUCCCCUAUGCCUCGGCCAUAGGGUCUAUUAUGUAUGCCAUGCUGUGUACCAGACCUGAUGUAAACCUUGCCGUAAGUUUGGUAGGAAGGUACCAAAGUAAUCCCGGCAUGGAACACUGGCCAGCGGUCAAGAAUAUCCUGAAGUACCUGAAAAGGACUAAGGAUAUGUUUCUCGUGUAUGGAGGUGACGAAGAGCUCGUCGUAAAGGGUUACGUCGAUGCUAGCUUCGACACAGAUCUGGAUGACUCUAAGUCACAAACCGGAUACAUGUAUAUUUUGAAUGGAGGGGCAGUAAGCUGGUGCAGUUGCAAGCAAAGCGUCGUGGCGGGAUCUACAUGUGAAGCGGAGUACAUGGCGGCCUCAGAGGCAGCACAAGAAGCAAUCUGGAUAAAGGAGUUCAUUACCGACCUAGGGGUGAUUCCCAAUGCGUCGGGCCCGAUGACUCUCUUCUGUGACAACACUGGAGCUAUUGCCCUUGCCAAGGAGCCCAGGUUUCACAGGAAGACCAGGCAUAUCAAGCAUCGCUUCAACUCCAUUCGUGAAAAUGUUCAAAAUGGAGACAUAGAUAUUUGUAAAGUACAUACGGACCUGAAUGUAGCAGAUCCGUUAACUAAACCUCUCCCUAGAGCAAAACAUGAUCAACACCAGAACUCUAUGGGUGUUCGAUUCAUCACAAUGUAACUAGAUUAUUGACUCUAGUGCAAGUGGGAGACUGUUGGAAAUAUGCCCUAGAGGCAAUAAUAAAAUGGUUAUUAUUAUAUUUCCUUGUUCAUGAUAAUUGUCUAUUAUUCAUGCUAUAAUUGUGUUAUCCAGAAAUCGUAAUACAUGUGUGAAUACAUAGACCACAACAUGUCCCUAAUGAGCCUCUAGUUGACUAGCUCGUUGAUCAACAAAUAGUCAUGAUUUCCUGACUAUGGACAUUGGAUGUCAUUGAUAACGGGAUCACAUCAUUAGGAGAAUGAUGUGAUGGACAAGACCCAAUCCUAAGCAUAGCGCAAAGAUCGUGUAGUUCGUUUGCUAGAGCUUUUCCAAUGUCAAGUAUCUUUUCCUUAGACCAUGAGAUCGUGUAACUCCCGGAUGCCGUAGGAGUGCUUUGGGUGUACCAAACGUCACAACGUAACUGGGUGACUAUAAAGGUACACUACAGGUAUCCCUGAAAGUGUCUGUUGGGUUGACACGGAUCGAGACUGGGAUUUGUCACUCCGUAUGACGGAGAGGUAUCUCUGGGCCCACUCGGUAAUGCAUCAUCAUAAUGAGCUCAAUGUGACUAAGGAGUUAGCCACGGGAUCAUGCAUUAUGGUACGAGUAAAGAGACUUGCCGGUAACGAGAUUGAACAAGGUAUUGGGAUACCCACGAUCGAAUCUCGGGCAAGUAACAUACCGAUUGACAAAGGGAAUUGUAUACGGGAUUGAUUGAAUCCUCGACAUCGUGGUUCAUCCAAUGAGAUCAUCGUGGAACAUCUGGGAGCGAACAUGGGUAUCCAGAUCCCGCUGUUGGUUAUUGACCGGAGAGUCGUCUCGGUCGUGUCUGCAUGUCUCCCGAACCCGUAGGGUCUACACACUUAAGGUUCGGUGACGCUAGGGUUGUAGAGAUAUUAGUAUGUGGUAACCCAAAAGUUGUUCGGAGUCCCGGAUGAGAUCCCGGACGUCACGUGGAGUUUCGGAAUGGUCCGGAGGUAAAGAAUUAUAUAUAGGAAGUCCAGUUUCGGCCACCGGGAAAAUUUCGGGGGUCACCAGUAUUGUACCGGGACCACCGAAAGGGUCCCGGGGGUCCACCGGGUGGGGCCACCUAUCCCGGAGGGCCCCAUGGGCUGAAGUGGGGAGGGGAACCAGCCACUGGUGGGCUGGUGUGCCCCCCUUGGGCCUCCCCUGCGCCUAGGGUUGGAAACCCUGGGGAUGGGGGGGGCGCCCCACUUGGCUUGGGGGGCAAGCUACCCCCUUGGCCGCCCCCCUGGAGAUGGGAUCUCCCAGGGCCGGCGCCCCCCCAGGGACCCUAUAUAAAGGGGGGAGGGAGGGCAGCAGCACCCUAGCCCCUGGCGCCUCCCUCUCCCUCCUGUGACACCUCUCCCUCCCGCUUGCGCUUGGCGAAGCCCUGCCGGGAUCCCGCUACUUCCACCACCACGCCGUCGUGCUGCUGGAUCUCCAUCAACCUCUCCUUUCCCCUUGCUGGAUCAAGAAGGAGGAGACGUCUUCCCAACCGUACGUGUGUUGAACACGGAGGUGCCGUCCGUUCGGCGCUCGGUCAUCGGUGAUUUGGAUCACGACGAGUACGACUCCAUCAACCUCGUUCACUUGAAUGCUUCCGCUCACGAUCUACAAGGGUAUGUAGAUGCACUCCUCUCUCUCGUUGCUAGAUGACUCCAUAGAUUGAUCUUGGUGAUGCGUAGAAAAUUUUAAAUUUCUGCUACGAUCCCCAACAAUGGAGAUGCCCAUCGAUUGAUGUUAAUGCAAGGAGUAGGGAUUGCCAUGCAACGGAUGCACUAGAACUAUAAAUGCAUGAAAGCUCAACAAAAGAAACUAAGUGGGUGUGCAUCCAACUUGCUUGCUCACGAAGACCUAGGGCAUUUGAGGAAGCCCAUUGUUGGAAUAUACAAGCCAAGUUCUAUAAUGAAAAAUUCCCACUAGCAUAUGAAAGUGACAAAACAAGAGACUCUCUAUCAUGAAGAUCAUGGUGCUACUUUGAAGAACAAGUGUGGAAAAAGGAUAGUAGCAUUGUCCCUUUUUAUUUUCUUCUCUUUUUUUACUUUUUUUGGGCCUUCCUUUUUUUAUUUGGCCUUCCUCUUCUUCUUUUUGGGACAAUGCUUUAUGAAUGAUGAUCAUCACACUUCUAUUUAUUUACAACUCGAUACUAGAACAAAGUAUGACUCUAUAUGAAUGCAUCCGGCGGUAUACCGGGAUAUAAAUAAAGAGUGACAUGUAUGAAAAAUUAUGAACGGUGGCUUUGCCACAAAUACGAUGUCAACUACAUGAUCAUGCAAAGCAAUAUGACAAUGAUGAACGUGUCAUGAUAAACGGAACGGUGGAAAGUUGCAUGGCAAUAUAUCUCGGAAUGGCUAUGGAAAUGCCAUAAUAGGUAGGUAUGGUGGCUGUUUUGAGGAAGAUAUAAGGAGGUUUAUGUGUGAUAGAGCGUAUCAUAUCACGAGGUUUGGAUGCACCGGCGAAGUUUGAACCAACUCUCAAUGUGAGAAAGGGCAAUGCACGAUACCGAAGAGGGUAGCAAUGAUGGAAGGGUAAGAGUGCGUAUAAUCCAUGGACUCAACAUUAGUCAUAAAGAACUCAUAUACUUAUUGCAAAAAUCUACAAGUCAUCAAAAACCAAGCAUUACGCGCAUGCUCCUAGGGGGAUAGAUUGGUAGGAAAAGACCAUCGCUCGUCCCCGACCGCCACUCAUAAGGAAGACAAUCAAAGAACACCUCAUGUUUCAAAUUUGUUACAUAACGUUUACCAUACAUGCAUGCUAUGGGACUUGCAAACUUCAACACAAGUAUUUAUCAAUUUCACAACUACUCAACUAGUACAACUUUAAUAUCACUACCUCCAUAUCUCAAAACAAUCAUCAAGCAUCAAACUUCUCUUAGUAUUCAACACACUCAUAAGAAAGUUUUUUAAUAGUCUUGAUCACCUAACAUAUUAGGAUUAAUUUCCCAAUUUAAGCAAAUUACCAUGCUGUUUAAGACUCUCAAAAUAAUAUAAGUGAAGCAUGAGAGAAUAAUAGUUUCUAUAAAACAAAUCCACCACCGUGCUCUAAAAGAUAUAAGUGAAGCACUAGAGCAAAAAUUAUAUAGCUCAAAAGAUAUAAGUGAAGCACAUAGAGUAUUCUAAUAAAUUCCGAAUGUGUGUCUCUCUCAAAAGGUGUGUACAGCAAAGAUGAUUGUGGUAAACUACAAAGAAAAGACUCAAAUCAUACAACACGCUCCAAGCAAAACACAUAUCAUGUGGUGAAUAAAAAUAUAGCUCCAAGUAAGUUACCGAUGGAAGUAGACGAAAGAGGGGAUGCCUUCCGGGGCAUCCCCAAGCUUUGGCUUUUUGGCGUCCUUAGAUUAUCUUGGGGUGCCAUGGUCAUCCCCAAUCUUAGGAUCUUGCCACUCCUUGUUUCAUAAUCCAUCAAAUCUUUUACCCAAAACUUGAAACCUUCACAACACAAAACUUAACAGAAAUUCUCGUGAGCUCCGUUAGCGAACGAAAACAAAACACCACCUCAAGGUACUGUAAUGAACUCAUUCUUUAUUUAUAUUGGUGUUAAACCUACUGUAUUCCAACUUCUCUAUGGUUUAUAAACUAUUUUAUUAGCCAUAGAUUCAUCAAAAUAAGCAAACAACACACGAAAAACAGAAUCUGUCAAAAACAGAACAGUCUGUAGUAAUCUGUAACUAACGCAAACUUCUGGAACUCAAAAUAUUCAGCCAAAAUAGGACGACCUAGAAAAUUUGUUUAUUGAUCAGCAGCAAUUGGAAUCAAUAUUUUAUCACGUUCUGGUGAUUUUUAACAAUUGUUUUCGUGAACAGAAAGUUUCUGGAAUUUUCAGCAAGAUCAAAUAACUAUCAUCCAAGAAGAUCCUAUAGGUUUAACUUGGCACAAACACUAAUUAAAACAUAAAAACAAAUCUAACCAGAGGCUAGAUCAAAGAUUUAUUCCUAAACAGAAGCAAAAACAAAAAAACUAAAAUUAAAAUUGGGUUGCCUCCCAACAAGCGCUAUCGUUCAACGCCCCUAGCUAGGCAUAAAAGGAAGGAUAGAUCUAGGUAUUGCCAUCUUUGGAAGGCAAUCCAUAAGUGGCUCCCAUAAUAGAUUCAUAAGGUAAUUUAACUUUAUUUCUAGGGAAGUGUUCCAUGCCUUUCCUUAACGGAAAUUGGAAUCUAAUAUUCCCUUCCUUCAUAUCAAUGAUUGCACCAAUCGUUCUAAGGAAAGGUUUACCAAGAAUAAUAGGAUAUGAAGGAUUGCAAUCUAUAUCAAGAACAAUAAAAUCUACGGGCACAUAAUUCCUAUUUGCAACAAUAAGAACAUCAUUAAUUCUUCCCAUAGGUUUUUUAGUAGUGGAAUCUGCAAGGUGUAAGUUUAAAGAACAAUCAUCAAAUUCACGGAAUCCUAGCAAAUCACACAAAGUUUUUGGGAUCGUGGAAACACUAGCACUCAAAUCACACAAAGCAUAGCAUUCAUGAUCUUUAAUUUUAAUUUUAAUAGUAGGUUCCCACUCAUCAUAGAGUUUUCUAGGGAUGGAAACUUCCAACUCAAGUUUUUCUUCAUAAGAUUGCAUCAAAGCAUCAACGAUAUGUUUAGUAAAAGCUUUAUUUUGACUAUAAGCAUGAGGAGAAUUUAGCACGGAUUGCAAUAAGGAAAUACAAUCUAUCAAAGAGCAAUUAUCAUAAUUAAAUUCCUUGAAAUCCAAAAUAGUGGGUUCAUUGAUAUCUAGAGUUUUGAUCUCUUCAAUCUCACUUUUACCAAAUUUUGCAUUAAGAUCUAAAGACUCUGAAUUUUUGGAACGCCUUCUAGGUAAAGUGGAUCAUAUUCAGUCCCAUCAUUAUCAAGAUUCAUAUUGCAAAACAAAGAUUUAAUAGGGGACACAUCAAUAACUUUUAGAUCUUCAUCUUUAUUUUCAUAGAAACUAUCCGAUUUAGCGGCCAUCUUAUUAACUAAGGUGGCCUGCUUAUCCGAGAUUUCAGCAACUAAUUUUUCGAGAUGAGCAAUCUGAGAUUUCAAACCAUAAAAUUCCUUAGACAUAUCGUCGAGCUCUUUAUUCAUGUAACCCAUAAAGCUUUUUUGUUCUUUAAGCUCGUUUCUAAAGAAAUUGUUAUGCUCAAACUGUAAAGUCAUGAAACUUCUAACGUUGCUUUCAAUCUCUUCUAACCUUUUAAGGUGAAGAUCACCAAAUCUAGGUAGAGCCAUCGUGACAAGCAAGCAGUCCAACACACGAGCGAACAAGAAGCAAGCGAAAAAGAGGCAAACGGAAAAGAGAGGGCGAAUAAAACGGCAAGGGUGAAGUGGGGGAGAGGAAAACGAGAGGCAAAUGGCAAAUAAUGUAAUGCAGGAGAUAAGAGUUUGUGAUGGGUACUUGGUAUGUUGACUUUUGCGUAGACUCCCCGGCAAUGGCGCCAGAAUUGGCUCGUUGACGGGAAAUCAAAUCUUGACUUGACUUGGCGCGAAUCUCCCCGGCAACGGCGCCAGAAAUCCUUCUUGCUACCUCUUGAGCACUGCGUUGGAUUUCCCUUGAAGAGGAAGGGUGAUGCAGUAAAGUAGCGUAAGUAUUUCCCUCAGUUUUUGAGAACCAAGGUAUCAAUCCAGUAGGAGGCCACGCAUAAGUCCCUCGCACCUACACAAACAAAUAAAGCCUCGCAACCAACGCAAUAAAGGGGUUGUCAAUCCCUUCACGGUCACUUACGAAAGUGAGAUCUGAUAGAUAUGAUAAGAUAAUAUUUUUGGUAUUUUUAUAAUAAAGAUGCAAAGUAAAAUAAAAGCAAAAUAAACGGCACCAGAAAUAGCUUGUUGUCGGGAGAUUAAUAUGAUGGAAAAUAGACCCGGGGGCCAUAGGUUUCACUAGUGGCUUCUCUCAAGAGCAUAAGUAUUACGGUGGGUGAACAAAUUACUGUUGAGCAAUUGAUAGAAUUGAGCAUAGUUAUGGGAAUAUCUAGGUAUGAUCAUGUAUAUAGGCAUCACGUCCGUGAUAAGUAGACCGACUCCUGCCUGCAUCUACUACUAUUACUCCACACAUCGACCGCUAUCCAGCAUGCAUCUAGAGUAUUAAGUUCAUAAGAAUAGAGUAAUGCUUUAAGCAAGAUGACAUGAUGUAGAGGGAUAAACUCAUGCAAUAUGAAAUAAACCCCAUCUUGUUAUCCUCGAUGGCAACAAUACAAUACGUGCCUUGCUGCCCCUACUGUCACUGGGAAAGGACACCGCAAGAUUGAACCCAAAGCUAAGCACUUCUCCCAUUGCAAGAAAGAUCAAUCUAGUAGGCCAAACCAAACUGAUAAUUCGAAGAGACUUCCAAAGAUAACCAAUAAUAUAUAAAAGAAUUCAGAGAAGAUUCAAAUAUUGUUCAUAGAUAAACUUGAUCAUAAACCCACAAUUCAUCGGUCUCAACAAACACACCGCAAAAGAAGAUUACAUCGAAUAGAUCUCCACAAGAGAGGGGGAGAACAUUGUAUUGAGAUCCAAAAAGAGAGAAGAAGCCAUCUAGCUAAUAACUAUGGACCCGAAGGUCUGAGGUAAACUACUCACACAUCAUCGGAGAGGCUAUGGUGUUGAUGUAGAAGCCUUCCGUGAUCAAUGCCCCCUCCGGCAGGACGCCGGAAAAGGCCCCAAGAUGGGAUCUCACGGGUACAGAAGGUUGCAGUGAUGGAAUUAGGUUUUCGUGGAUGCCUCUGUUGGUUUGGGGGUACGUAGGUAUAUAUAGGAGGAAGAAGUACGUCGGUGGAGCAACUUGGGCCCCACGAGGGUGGAGGGCGCGCCCAGGGGGGUAGGCGCGCCCCCUACCUCAUGCCCUCCUGGUUGCUUUCUUGACGUAGGGUCCAAGUACUCUGGAUCACGUUCGUUCCGAAAAUCACGUUCCCGAAGGUUUCAUUCCGUUUGGACUCCGUUUGAUAUUGUUUUUCUGUGAAACUCUGAAAUAGGCAAAAAAACAGCAAUUUGGGCUGGGCCUCCAGUUAAUUGGUUAGUGCCAAAAAUAAUAUAAAAGUGUAUAACAAAGCCCAUUAAUCAUCCAAAACAAAAUAUAAUAUAGCAUGAAGCAAUCAAAAAUUAUAGAUACGUUGGAGACGUAUCACAGGGCUUCGCCUAAGCACUACAACGAUAUGACCGAGGUGGAAAUCUGUGGAGGGGGCACCGCACACGGUUAAACAAUCAACUUGUGUGUGUCUAUGGGGUGCCCCCUCCCCCGUAUAUAAAGGAGUGGAGGAGGGGAGGGCCGGCCCUCUCUAUGGCGCGCCCAAGGGGGAGUCCUACUCCCGCCGGGAGUAGGAUUGCACCCCUUCCCUAGUUGGAUUAGGAGAGGAAGGAGGGAGGAGAGAGGGAGAAGGAAAGGGGGGCCGGGCCCCCUCCCAAUUCGGAUUGGGCUUGGGGGGGGCGCCCCCACCUUGGCCGCCUCCUCCUCUCUCCCACUAAGGCCCAUUAAGGCCCAUGUACUCCGGGGGGUCCGGUAACCUCCCGGUACUCCAGUAAAUGCCCGAACUCACCCGGAACCAUUCCGAUGUCCAAACAUAGCCAUCUAAUAUAUCGAUCUAUAUGUCUCGACCAUUUCGAGACUCCUCGUCAUGUCCGUGAUCACAUCUGGGACUCCGAACAACCUUCGGUACAUCAAAACACAUAAACUCAUACUACCGAUCGUCACCGAACGUUAAGCGUGCGGACCCUACGGGUUCGAGAACUAUGUAGACAUAACCGAGACUCAUCUCCGGCCAAUAACCGAUAGCGGAACCUGGAUUCUCAUAUUGGUUCCUACAUAUUCUACGAAGAUCUUUAUCGGUCAAACCGCAUAAUAACAUAUGUUGUUCCCUUUGUCAUCGGUAUGUUACUUGCCCGAGAUUCGAUCGUCGGUAUCUCAAUACCUAGUUCAAUCUCGUUACCGGCAAGUCUCUUUACUCAUUCCGUAAUGCAUCAUCCCGUAACUAACUCAUUAGUCACAUUGCUUGCAAGGCUUAUAGUGAUGUGCAUUACCGAGAGGGCCUAGAGAUACCUCUCCGAUACUCGGAGCGACAAAUCCUAAUCUCGAUCUAUGCCAACUCAACAAACACCAUCGGAGACACCUGUAGAGCAUCUUUAUAAUCACCCAGUUACGUUGUGACGUUUGAUAGCACACUAAGUGUUCCUCCGGUAUUCGGGAGUUGCAUAAUCUCAUAGUCAUAGGAACAUGCAUAAGUCAUGAAGAAAGCAAUAGCAACAAACUAAACGAUCAAGUGCUAAGCUAACGGAAUGGGUCAAGUCAAUCACAUCAUUCUCUAAUGAUGUGAUCCCAUUAAUAAAAUGACAACUCAUGUGUCAGGACCCCGAUUCCAAAUCACACCGAUCUAGCCUGUAACACCUCAUAUAACAUUGCGGCCUCACGCACGGUACUCCCACGGGUGUCGCCUUACCAUGGCCCGGGACCGUUUGCGCCUGUUGGCUCACGUAUAUGAUAAUGUCGCUAGCAUCCAUAUGAUAGAGAACCUAGGCCGACAUGGCUAGUCGUGAACCCAAAGCGGCACUAACGUAUGGGGACAGGCAUACAUGAAUCAACAUCGAACGUGUCGGUCAGCAGCGUGUGAGUCCGGGCUGUAGCACUGGGCUAACAGGACUCCGGGAACCCGGGCUGUAGCAGGCUAGGCAGGACUCCGGAUGUCACCGCGUGACAUUUCCCCGAAGGGACAGACACAGGAACGAUAUGAUUCACAUGCCGGCCAGUCAGGUGUCCAGAGCAGUAGUGCUGGGCUAGCAGGACUCCGGUGAACCGGGCUGUAGCGGACUACUAUGGCUCAAGGAGGCACCAGACUACAUUUCCCCAUAAGAGAGGCUGCUAAAGAUAAACAACUAGAUUGUCGGAUCCCACACAUACCAAGCAUUUCAAACAUACACACAAUAUGCUCGAUAUGUGCAAAUACAACAUGGCAUCACAACAAAACUCUACAACUCAAGUACUUUAUUUAAGGGGCUCCGGAGAGCCUUACAUAACUUGUUCAUACAGAUAGGGGUCACACGACCCGACACUCAAGUCAUACAAUCAUACAAGCACAUGCGGAAGCAAACUGUCUGGGUACAGACACUAGAAAGAAAGAAGGCUUGACGAAGCCUGUCUAUCUACAUAGGCCCUUCACAAGCCUAGAUCACCACCUGGGUGGCGCGUCACUCGUCGUCGUCGAGUUCUACGUAGAACCCGUCAGAAGGGGCGGUGUUGUCGUCUGAAAACAGUAAUUAAAGCAACAUGAGUACAAAGGUACUCAGCAAGUCUUACAACAGAUCCUACUAUACAUGUUCAUUCUCAAGAAGGUAGUGGGGUUAUUGUAGCAAGCCAGCUUUGACUCUUGGCUAAGCUAUCCUACGAUACACCACUUGUGAAAUAGUUUUCGCACACGAGUCCACUAAUCACCAUCUCAAUACUCCACCGUGGAUCCUCCCUCGUCAUCCAACGAGAGGGCCAUCCGCGGUACUCACACUUAUCUUGAGGCUUUUAGUAGUAUCCAUUUACUUGUCUAUGAACUGCAUAAGCGACCAAGUAGUCCUUUACCGCGGACGCGGCUAUUCGAAUAGUUUCAUACCCUGCAGGGGUGUACUUCGUCACACACGCUCUCACCACUUAUCGUCGCUACACGACGUGUACUCGGCAACCUUCAAGCGGAAGCCCAACGUGGGUGUCGGCCACAGCCUACCUAAACACUCGAGUCUCUAGUCUAGGUUUAUCGCCUAUUUAGGUUCCAUCCGCAGGGAGUCUGGCCGAGGUUUCCACAUACGGCCCCAAACGAUGUGUGCAGGGUUCUCGGACACCAAACGGGCGACUCGGUACACCGUGCCACGAGCCUACCGCAUCACAGCCCACCCCUUGGUCAGCGAUGUCCACGGCCUCCAGCUUACUACAAACACCAGAAACUACGUGCAACUCCUGGACAGAGGACAAGGGUGAAUAAGAAGCCGAGGGGGUCCAUUGGUUUCGGGCCCAAUGUGUGGUAGUAGCUGAAUCUUAAAUCACACAUACAGAUCUCAGUUCUUAGGGACGGUCUCAAUGAAACAACCCACCAUGUACUCCUACAUGGCCUCCCAUCGAUACCUUUACCAAAUCGUAUUCAACACUUUACUCCCUUUACCGACACACACACUUUCACUCUAGUUCAUCACCCUGAUGAGCCAGACCUGACACAACUCUAAGCAUAGCAAGCAUAGCAUUGUAGGAACACACAACAUGGCUCAAUCAACUCCUACACAUGCUAGUGGGUUUCAUCUAGUUACUGUGGCAAUGAUAGGUCAUGCAAAGGAAAGUGGGUUCAACUACCGCAACACACAGCAGUUUGAAUCGCGUUGUCUUAAUGCAGUAAACGAGAGCAGAAGCGAGAAGAUGGGUUUGUAUCGAAAUGAUCAAUGGGUUGCUUGCCUGACGGAGUGGUGGUGGGAUACUGCCCUUCAGUUGGAUACUCGUGAAUAUCCUCGGAGGCAGGACCUACCACGAUGAGCAUACCGAAGCACAAUCAACACCAAGCAAGUGCAACAAUAUGAUGCAUGCAUGAGACAUGGCAAGAUGGAUGUGUUGGGCUAAUGCAACUAAGACCAGAUGGGUUUGGACUAAUUUGAAUCAAAGAUUCAAAUUCCAAGUUCAUAAAUGGCCCAUAUUAAUGCUUUAUCUUGUUCUGUAUAAAACAGUAGGUUAACUUGCUUAAUCAUGCAUGAAACCAGUACAGAUGGAUAGAAUGGAUUUUUCUGAUCAUUUUUCAUAUAUAAAUCUUUUCAUUCUGAGCUAUAGAUUAUUUUCUAUGAUUUUUUGAAGUUUGUGAUAAUUUCUGGAAUUUUCAAUAUAAGAAUAAUUCAAGUAAAUGCUUUACUGCGUCAGCCUGACGUCAGUGUGACGUCAGCAAGUCAACGGGGUCGUCCAGGUCAAACCUGACGUGUGGGUCCCCUGUGUCAGUGUCACUGUUAGGUAAUUAGUUAUUUAGAAUUAGUUUUAACUCUAACCCAGAUUUAUUUAGCAGGCGGGCCCCACUUGUCAGUGACCCUGGGGGGUCAACCCGUGGUCAAACCACGCUGACUCGCCGGCGUUUAGCCGCCGGCGACGUCCAGACGCGGCGGUGGAGUGCGGGUUCCCUCCUCCGGCGACCAAAAGGACGGCGGAGAGUACCUACGUGUAGCUGGGGGCGAGCCGCGUCGACUGGUGGUGGUAGUGGAGCUCGGGGUCGCCGGAAUCGACGCCGGCGACGAGCCGUGCGGCUGCCGGGGUACGGGCGUGGUUGAAACCGUAUCUAGAGAGCAUGGCGAGGAACGUGCGAGGGUGCUACGGGUUCCUGGCGUUGCGGUGAAGCUAAUGGCUACGGUGGUGUGGCCGUUGGAUGGCCGGAGCCUCGUCGGCGACGAGCUCGUGCGGUGGCGCGUACGGGUGAGCUUCGUGCGGUGGCUACAGAGCUCGAGAGAGAGAGGAGAGGAUGGGAAGGUGGCCAUGCUCACGGCAGUUGCGACGGAGCAGGCGGCGAGGUCGGAGACGAGCUGUAGCAGUGGCGACGGCGGAGGGGAUCUCCGACGGUGAGCGGCGAAGGCGAGGUCGGUGGCGGAGCUUCGGGGCAACCGAGCGCUCGGGGCUCGGCUUGCUCGAAGGAGUGGGCGACAGCGGUGCGGUAGGACACGGUGGUACGGCGCGAGGUCGACGGUGGGCGCGGCUACUCCGGUGAGGUGGCUGCGGCGGCGUCGGCCAUGGUGGGAAGAAAGGCGAGGGAGAGGCGAUGGGGGAGAAUGGCGAUGUCCAGGGGCUCGGGGCGCGUCGAGGGAGGUCGGCCAGCUCAUCCGCGGCGAGGGCGGCAAGCAGGUGGCGCGGUGGCGAGCUCGCGCUCGCCGGCGUCACCUCUCUGCCUGCUCUGGCGAGAGCAGGCAGCUGACUGGCGCGGGCCAGCACAGUGCUGGGCCGCCAGGUGGGCUGCCAGGUAAGUUUCUCUGCCUUCUAUUCUUUUCUCUUUUUAUUUAUUUCUGUACUGUGUUUUGAAAUAGUAAAAAUACUAUUUCAUUUGGAAAAAUCCUGAAAAUAUUCUGGGGCACCUUUGAGAUUAUUCCCAACAGCCUAAAAAUACCUUCAAGAUUAUUUGGGCAUUUGAAAAUAUUUAUAGCAUUUAAAAUGCCCAAAUGCAAAUACUUAUGGCUUGUGCAAAAAUCCAAGAUGGCCUCCAAAAAUAUGAAACCAUUUUUGGCAGAGGUUUUAGCCAAGACCAAAGGUGGUGAACAUUUAUGGAGGGCAUUUCAGGUUCAUUGAAAAGAAUUUUAGUAAAGCCUAGUUGUUCCAGGGGGGGUGCUGGGGGUUUCUGGCAUCCCCAUUUCAGGUUUCUGUGAAAUGUAGACAUGAUGCAACACUCUAAUGCAUGAACUAACUAGGAUGUGACAUCAUGUCUAUGGCAAGGAAACUUAACCAUCUUUGAUUCAACGAGCUAGUCAAGUAGAGGCAUACUAGUGACACUCUGUUUGUCUAUGUAUUCACACAUGUACUAAGUUUCCGGUUAAUACAAUUCUAGCAUGAAUAAUAAACAUUUAUCAUGAUAUAAGGAAAUAUAAAUAACAAUUUUAUUAUUGCCUCCAGGGCAUAUUUGCUUCAGUCUCCCACUUGCACUAGAGUCAAUAAUCUAGAUUACACAGUAAUGAUUCUAACACCCAUGGAGUCUUGGUGCUGAUCAUGUUUUGCUCGUGAGAGAGGCUUAGUCAACGGGUCUGCAACAUUCAGAUCUGUAUGUAUCUUGCAAAUCUCUAUGUCUCCCUCCUUGACUUGAUUGCGGAUGGAAUUGAAGCGUCUCUUGAUGUGCUUGGUUCUCUUGUGAAAUAUGGAUUCCUUUGCCAAGGCAAUUGCACAAGUAUUGUCACAAAAGAUUUUCAUUGGACCCAAUGCACUAGGUAUGACACCUAGAUCGGAUAUGAACUCCUUCAUCCAGACUCCUUCAUUUGCUUCUUCCGAAGCAGCUAUGUACUCCGCUUCACACGUAGAUCCCGCCACGACGCUUUGCUUAGAACUGCACCAACUGACAGCUCCACCGUUCAAUAUAAAUACGCAUCCGGUUUGUGACUUAGAGUCAUCCGGAUCAGUGUCAAAGUUUGCAUCGACGUAACCAUUUACGACGAGCUCUUUGUCACCUUCAUAAACGAGAAACAUAUCCUUAGUCCUUUUCAGGUAUUUCAAGAUGUUCUUGACCGCUGUCCAGUGAUCCACUCCUGGAUUACUUUGGUACCUCCCUGCUAAACUAAUAGCAAAGCACACAUCAGGUCUAGUACACAGCAUUGCAUACAUGAUAGAACCUAUGGCUGAAGCAUAGGGAAUGACUUUCAUUUUCUCUCUAUCUUCUGCAGUGGUCGGGCAUUGAGUCUGACUCAAUUUCACACCUUGUAACACAGGCAAGAACCCUUUCUUUGCUUGAUCCAUUUUGAACUUCUUCAAAACUUUAUCAAGGUAUGUGCUUUGUGAAAGUCCAAUUAAGCGUCUUGAUCUAUCUCUAUAGAUCUUGAUGCCCAAUAUAUAAGCAGCUUCACCGAGGUCUUUCAUUGAAAAACUCUUAUUCAAGUAUCCUUUUAUGCUAUCCAGAAAUUCUAUAUCAUUUCCAAUCAACAAUAUGUCAUCCACAUAUAAUAUUAGAAAUGCUACAGAGCUCCCACUCACUUUCUUGUAAAUACAGGCUUCUCCAAAAGUCUAUAUAAAACCAUAUGCUUUGAUCACACAAUCAAAACGUUUAUUCCAACUCCGAGAUGCUUGCACCAGUCCAUAAAUGGAUCGCUGGAGCUUGCACACUUUGUUAGCAUCCUUUGGAUUGAUAAAUCCUUCGGGUUGCAUCAUAUACAACUCUUCUUCCAGAAAUCCAUUCAGGAAUGCAGUCUUUACAUCCAUUUGCCAAAUUUCAUAAUCAUAAAAUGCAGCAAUUGCUAACAUGAUUCAGACGGACUUAAGCAUCGCUACGGGUGAGAAGGUCUCAUCGUAGUCAACUCCUUGAACUUGUCGAAAACCUUUCGCAACAAUUCGAGCUUUGUAGAUAGUAACAUUACCGUCAGCAUCAGUCUUCUUCUUGAAAAUCCAUUUAUUUCUAUGGCUUGCCGAUCAUCGGGCAAGUCAACCAAAGUCCACACUUUGUUCUCAUACAUGGAUCCCAUCUCAGAUUUCAUGGCCUCAAGCCAUUUCGCGGAAUCUGGGCUCAGCAUUGCUUCCUCGUAGUUCAUAGGUUCGUCAUGGUCAAGUAACAUGACCUCCAGAACAGGAUUACCGUACCACUCUGGUGCGGAUCUUACUCUGGUUGACCUACGAGGUUCGGUAGUAACUUGAUCUGAUGUUACAUGAUCAUCAUCAUUAGCUUCCUCACUAAUUGGUGUAAGAGUCACAGGAACUGAUUUCUGUGAUGAACUACUUUCCAAUAAGGGAGUAGGUAAACUUACCUCAUCAAGUUCUACUUUCCUCCCACUCACUUCUUUCGAGAGAAACUCCUUCUCUAGAAAGGAUCCAUUCUUAGCAACGAAUGUCUUGCCUUCGGAUCUGUGAUAGAAGGUGUACCCAAUAGUCUCUUUUGGGUAUCCUAUGAAGACACAUUUCUCCGAUUUGGGUUCGAGCUUAUCAGGUUGAAGCUUUUUCACAUAAGCAUCGCAGCCCCAAACUUUAAGAAACGAUAACUUGGGUUUCUUGCCAAACCACAGUUCAUAAGGUGUCGUCUCAACGGAUUUAGAUGGUGCCCUAUUUAACGUGAAUGCAGCCGUCUCUAAAGCAUAACCCCAAAAUGAUAGCGGUAAAUCAGUAAGAGACAUCAUAGAUCGCACCAUAUCUAGUAAAGUGUGGUUACGACGUUCGGACAAACCAUUACGCCAUGGUGUUCCGGGUGGCGUGAGUUGCGAAACUAUUCCGCAUUGUUUCAAAUGAAGACCAAACUCGUAACUCAAAUAUUCUCCUCCAUGAUCAUAUCGCAGAAACUUUAUUUUCUUGUUACGAUGAUUUUCCACUUCACUCUGAAAUUCUUUGAACUUUUCAAAUGUUUCAGACUUAUGUUUCAUCAAGUAGAUAUACCCAUAUCUGCUCAAAUCAUCUGUGAAGGUCAGAAAAUAAUGAUACCUGCCGCGAGCCUCAAUAUAUUCAUCGGACCACAUACAUCAGUAUGUAUGAUUUCCAAUAAAUCUGUUUGCUCGCUCCAUUGUUCCGGAGAACGGAGUUUUAGUCAUCUUGCCCAUGAGGCAUGGUUCGCAAGUACCAAGUGAUUCAUAAUCAAGUGAUUCCAAAAGUCCAUCAGAAUGGAGUUUCUUCAUGCGCUUUACACCAAUAUGACCCAAACGGCAGUGCCACAAAUAAGUUGCACUAUUAUUAUCAAUUCUGCAUCUUUUGGCUUCAAUAUAAUGAAUAUGUGUGUCACUACUGUCGAGAUUCAACAAAAAUAGACCACUCUUCAAGGGUGCAUGACCAUAAAAGAUAUUAAUCAUAUAAAUAGAACAACCAUUAUUCUCAGAUUUAAAUGAAUAACCGUCUCGCAUCAAACAAGAUCCAGAUAUAAUGUUCAUGCUUAACGCUGGCACCAAAUAACAAUUAUUCAGGUCUAAAACUAAUCCCGAAGGUAGAUGUAGAGGUAGCGUGCCGACGGCGAUCACAUCGACUUUGGAACCAUUUCCCAUGCUCAUCGUCACCUUGUCCUUAGCCAAUCUUCGCUUAAUCCGUAGUCCCUGCUUUGAGUUGCAAAUAUUAGCAAUAGAACCAGUAUCAAAUACCCAGGUACUACUGCGAGCAUUAGUAAGGUACACAUCAAUAACAUGUAUAUCACAUAUACCUUUGUUCACCUUGCCAUCCUUCUUAUCCGCCAAAUACUUGGGGCAGUUCCGCUUCCAUUGACCAGUCCCUUUGCAGUAGAAGCACUCAAUUUCAGGCUUGGGUCUAGCUUUGGGCUUCUUCAUGGGAGUGGCAACUUGCUUGCCAUUCUUCUUGAAGUUCCCUUUGUUUCCCUUGCCCUUUUACUUGAAACUAGUGGUCUUGUCAACCAUCAACAUUUGAUGCUUUUCUUGAUUUCUACCUUCGUUGAUUUCAGCAUCACGAAGAGCUUGGGAAUCGUUUUCGUCAUCCCUUGCAUGUUAUAGUUCAUCACGAAGCUUUUGUAGCUUGGUGGCAGUGAUUGAAGAACUCUGUCAAUGACACUAUCAACCGGAAUAUUAACUCCCAGCUGAGUCAAGUGAUUAUAAUACCCAGACAUUUUGAGUAUAUGCUCACUGACAGAACUAUUCUCCUCCAUUUUGCAGCUAUAGAACUCAUUGGAGACUUCAUAUCUCUCAAUCUGGGCAUUUGCUUGAAAUAUUAACUUCAACUCCUGGAACAUCUCAUAUGCUCCAUGACGUUCAAAACGUCGUUGAAGUACCGGUUCUAAGCCGUAAAGCAUGGCACACUGAACUACCGAGUAGUCAUCAGCUUUGCUCUGCCAGGCGUUCACAACGUCCGGCGUUGCUCCUGCAGCGGGUCUUGCACCUAGCGGUGCUUCCAGGACGUAAUUCUUCUGUGCAGCAAUGAGGAUAAUCCUCAAGUUAUGGACCCAGUCCGUGUAGUUGCUACCAUCAUCUUUCAACUUAGCUUUCCCCAGGAACGCAUUAAAAUUCAAAGGAAUAGUAGCACGGGCCAUUGAUCUACCACAACAUACACAUGCAAAAUACUAUCAUGUACUAAGUUAAUGAUAAAUUAAAGUUCAAUUAAUCAUAUUACUUAAGAACUCUCACUUAGAUAGACAUCCCUCUAAUCAUCUAAGUGAUCACGUGAUCCAAAUCAACUAAACCAUGUCCGAUCAUCACGUGAGAUGGAGUAGUUUUCAAUGGUGAACAUCACUAUGUUGAUCAUAUCUACUAUAUGAUUUAUGCUCGACCUUUUGGUCUCAGUGUUCCGAGGCCAUAUCUGCAUAUGCUAGGCUCGUCAAGUUUAACCCGAGUAUUCUGCAUGUGCAAAACUGGCUUGCACCCGUUGUAUGUGAGCGUAGAGCUUAUCACACCCGAUCAUCACGUGGUGUCUCGGCACGACGAACUUUCGCAACGGUGCAUACUCAGGGAGAACACUUGUACCUUGAAAUUUAGUGAGAGAUCAUCUUAUAAUGCUAUCGUCGAACUAAGCAAAAUAAGAUGCAUAAAGGAUAAACAUCACAUGCAAUCAAUAUAAGUGAUAUGAUAUGGCCAUCAUCAUCUUGUGCCUUUGAUCUCCAUCUACAAAGCACCGUCAUGAUCACCAUCGUCACCGGCGCGACACCUUGAUCUCCAUCAUAGCAUCGUUGUCGUCUCGCCAACUAUUGCUUCUACGACUAUCGCUACUGCUUAGUGAUAAAGUAAAAACAAUUGCAGGGCGAUUGCAUUGCAUACAAUAAAGCGACAACCAUAUGGCUCCUGCCAGUUGCCGAUAACUCUGUUACAAACAUGAUCAUCUCAUACAAUAAAAUUAAGCAUCAUGUCUUGACCAUAUCACAUCACAACAUGCCCCGCAAAAACAAGUUAGACGUCCUCUACUUUGUUGUUGCAAGUUUUACGUGGCUGCUACGGGCUGAGCAAGAACCGUUCUUACCUACGCGUCAAAACCACAACGAAUUUUCGUCAAGUGUGCUGUUUUAACCUUCAACAAGGAGCGGGCGUAGUCACACUCGAUUCAACUAAAGUUGGAGAAACUGACACCCGCCAGCCACCUGUGUGCAAAGCACGUCGGUAGAACCAGUCUCGCGUAAGCGUACGCGUAAUGUCGGUCCGGGCUGCUUCAUCCAAGAAUACCGCCGAACCAAAGUAUGACAUGCUGGUAAGCAAUAUGACUAUUAUCGCCCACAACUCUUUGUGUUCUACUCGUGCAUAUAGCAUCUAUGCAUAGACCUGGCUCGGAUGCCACUGUUGGGGAAUGCAGUAAUUUCAAAAAAAAAACCUACGCACACGCAAGAUCCAUCUAGGUGAUGCAUAAUAACGAGAGGGGAGAGUGUUGUCCACGUACCCUCGUAGACCGAAAGCGGAAGCGUUAUGACAACGAGGUUGAUGUAGUCUGCGUCUUCACGAUCCGACCGAUCCUAGUACCGAAAGUACGGCACCUCCGCGAUCUGCACACAUUCAGCUCGAUGAUGUCCCAUGAACUCUAGAUCCAGCUGAGUGUCGAGGGAGAGCUUCGUCAGCACGACGACGUGAUAACGGUGAUGAUGAAGUUACAGACGCAGGGUUUCGCCUAAGCACUACAACGAUAUGACCGAGGUGGAAAUCUGUGGAGGGGGGCACCGCACACGGUUAAACAAUCAACUUGUGUGUGUCUAUGGGGUGCCCCCUCAAUCGUAUAUAAAGGAGUGGAGGAGGGGAGGGUCAGCCCUCUCCAUGGCGCGCCCAAGGGGGAGUCCUACUCCCACCGGGAGUAGGAUUCCCCCCUUCCCUAGUUGGAUUAGGAGAGGAAGGAAGGAGGAGAAAGGGAGAAGGAAAGGGGGGCCGCCCCCCUCCCAAUUCGGAUUGGGCUUGGGGGGAGGGCGCCCCCACCUUGGCCGCCUCCUCCUCUCUCCCACUAAGGCCCAUUAAGGCCCAUGUACUCCCCGGGGGGUUCCAGUAACCUCCCGGUACUCCGGUAAAUGCCCGAACUCACCCGGAACCAUUCUGAUGUCCAAACAUAGCCAUCCAAUAUAUCGAUCUUUAUGUCUCGACCAUUUAGAGACUCCUCGUCAUGUCCGUGAUCACAUCCGGGACUCCGAACAACCUUCGGUACAUCAAAACACAUAAACUCAUAAUACCGAUCGUCACCGAACGUUAAGCGUGCGGACCCUACGGGUUCGAGAACUAUAUAGACAUGACGAGACUCAUCUCCGGUCAAUAACCAAUAGCGAAACCUGGAUGCUCAUAUUGGUUCCUACAUUCUACGGAGAUCUUUAUCGGUCAAACCGCAUAACAACAUACGUUGUUUCGUUUGUCAUCGGUAUGUUACUUGCCCGAGAUUCGAUCGUCGGUAUCUCAAUACCUAGUUCAAUCUCGUUACCGGCAAGUCUCUUUACUCGUUCCGUAAUGCAUCAUCCCGUAACUAACUCAUUAGUCACGUUGCUUGCAAGGCUUAUAGUGAUGUGCAUUACCGAGAGGGCCCAGAGAUACCUCUCCGAUACUCGGAGUGACAAAUCCUAAUCUCGAUCUAUGCCAACUCAACAAACACCAUCGGAGACACCUGUAGAGCAUCUUUAUAAUCACCCAGUUACGUUGUGACGUUUGAUAGCACACUAGUGUUCCUCCGGUAUUCGGGAGUUGCAUAAUCUCAUAGUCAUAGGAACAUGUAUAAGUCAUGAAUAAAGCAAUAGCAACAAACUAAACGAUCAAGUGCUAAGCUAACGGAAUGGGUCAAGUCAAUCACAUCAUUCUCUAAUGAUGUGAUCCCGUUAAUCAAAUGACAACUCAUGUCUAUGGCUAGGAAACUUGACCAUCUUUGAUUCAACGUGCUAGUCAAGUAGAGGCAUACUAUUGACACUCUGUUUGUCUAUGUAUUCACACAUGUACUAAGUUUCUGGUUAAUACAAUUCUAACAUGAAUAAUAAACAUUUAUCAUGGUAUAAGGAAAUAUAAAUAACAACUUUAUUAUUGCCUCUAGGGCAUAUUUCCUUCAAUCACAUCACUACUUGGCGUAGUCUUGUCUGAUCACGUGGCUUUGUUGUCAAAAAUAGGGAAGAUAUUCCAGCAUACAACUUUUAAAAGUUUGAGACUAGUUGGUACGUGAGGGAGGAUUGGAGAGAUAUUGCUCUCAAAGUGUGGUAUACACUCAACGAAGGAAAACAAACAAGCGUUGAUAAUUGACAAACCAAAAUAAGGAUUGCAAGACAAAUUUUUAAGUGGAUGGAAGGGAAUACAAGAAUAUUAAAAUAUGGUAUUUUUAAAGGAACAUGUGAGCUAUAUAAAAAAACUGAAUAAUGUUGGAAUGAUUUCGAAUGAAGAAAGUCCUUAGUGCACUUUAAAGUACAUGAAAUUCAAGAAAGAGAUGACAUGGUUGCAGAGGGAGAAGAGAAAGCGGUAAAGGAUGGUGAUAGAAAUACUAGGUAUUACCAUUCUAAAGCAGAUGGGAGAAGGAGAAAAGUUGGGAUAGUUUAUCUAGAGCAAGAAGGUGAAAUUUGAGGGGGUAAAGAACUCGACGAGUACAAACUUUUAUAGAAUAUCUUUUUGGACACUAUGUUCAAACUUCAUUGUCUUUUUAAAUGUUGAAGGAAUAACUGAGUUAACUAAUGUUGCAUCUUUGACACAACUCUUCACCAUGGAAUAGCUAAGAACAGUGGUGCUCGAUAUGGAUCAUAAAAAAAUCCCUAGACCUAAUGUAUUUAAUGAUAAGUUGCAUUUUUCCCCAAUGAUCUUGUCAAGUUUGAUCUUAAAUGAUGUUAGAUGAUAUUCAUGUUGAACUUUGGAGUCAUUAAUUUGGUGCCUAAAGGUAAAGAUGUUGUUUCAAUUCAAAGAAUUAGGCCCAUUUGGCUACUUUUUUGCGAUAUUUAAAAUUGUUAUAAAAGUGCCGACGAAUAUAUCAUCUUUAGUGGCUAGGCAACUUUUAUUGAAGAAGGAACAUCAUGAAAGGGGUGUGGUGCUACAUGGGACUCUCAACACUAUAAAAAAUCUGCUAUAAAUUUAAAAUUGUAUGGAAGGACCUAUGAUUGAAUAAAAUGACCAUUCAUAUAUAGAGUGGAUUUGAUGUCAUGGGGGAUAGCCCCCCCUCGUAUAUCCACCGUUCGUCCCUCCUAGAGAUAUGUGCAACAUGUGAAUAGUUACCUUCUUAAUCAGAAUGCAUGAAUAGUGAAAUGUAAUUAGUACCUUUGUCCUUUCCUGGCAUGGGAUGGUGCUGUGAGAUCAAAAGAAUGGAUAUUUAAAUGUGAUAGUGGAUAAGAACAGGCAUUUAAAGUCAAUGGAUAAUUAGCCUUGUUUCGCCGCAUUUAAUUGAGACGAGAGGAUACUUUUGUCACCAAUUAUUUUUCAUCUAGUUGCUAAUGGCCUUGCAUCUUAAUAAAAAAAGCUCAAGGUGUUGGUUGAUUAGAGGACUUGUACCUGUUUUAGGUGAAGAUGGGUUUGUUGUGCUAGAUAGUAAAACACAUAUCUAGAACAUCGAAGAGAAACUGAAAAGAAGUACUAACAUAUACACAAAUAGAUACCGGUAUUGCCACAAAAUUUUCAAUCAAAAUUCAAUCCAUAUCAUUAUAAACAAAAAAGAAAAUCCAACUAUGGAUAUCACCCAUUUCAAAUUUUUGAAUGGUGUCAUGGUUAUAGUAUUCGCUAUCACUUUCAUCUCUUUUUUCUUUCAAGAUAGUAUAUAGAUUAAUUUUGGAUUCAAAAUUUUGAAGCAUCGUAGAUGUUUGUUGUGUUAAUGUUUAAAAAAAUAGUUUUAUCUAUCAUUACUAAAAAAUAGUUAUCACUUAUCUAGCACAUUUUAAAAACCUCAACCAAAAUUAUAUUGACAAAAGAUGAAGAUCUACAAUACCAAGUUGUAUAAUAUGAAAAUUAAUUUCAUGAUGAUGUAUCUAAUGAUAUUGAUUUCAUUUUGUGUAUAUUGAUUUCAUUAAGUCAAACUUUAUGAAAUUUGACUGCAGACAAAUUUUAUAUACAAACUAAAAAUGAAUAGAGGGAGUACAUUACUAAACAUAUGUUCAGUCAGUGCACGAGUGAUUUUUCAUUUAUACUACCUUCGUCUGGGUUUAUUAGUCCCCAUCGUAUUUUGGGUCAAAGAUACCACAUAUUUGACAAACAAAAUGUUAACACACGUUAUAAAAAACUUGUUGGAUUUGUAUUUGAAUGUACUUUCAAUGAUAUUAAUUUUGCUAUGUAUGACUUAAAAUUUAGUUAAUUAAAAUCAUGGUCAAAGUAUGACCCAAAAUACAGGGACUAGUUUCUUUAGGGGUUUACAGGACUAGAUUUUUUUUUGAGGGGUACGGGAGUAGUAAAUGAGGAGGGAUAUUUUUUUUUUUUGAGACAAAUGAGGAGGGAUAUAGUGUAUGCCCGAGUGAUGGGCAUGCAAGUACGAAUGUCUGGUGAUUAGGCCCACAAUUAAUCCAUCACUUAAGUGACGGUGGUCCACCAACCAGGCCCGUAGACAAGGCCCACAAGUAUCAUGAAGCAGAGCAGCAGGAUUUCGCAAAUCAAAAAAUAAAAAUGGAAAUUUCGCUCAAAGCGAAAACCAAUCAAUCGAUUGGUCGCGGAAGGGAAGGAAAAGGGGAAAGGCGAGGGAAGUAGAGAAGAGAAAGCAAAGGCGAAGACGGGGAGCAGAAAACUCCACCCCGACGGAGGCCAUCCGGUUCGCUGCCGGCCCGCUCCUCCUCCUCCUCGCCGGCGUUCCCAAGGUACGCCCCCCCCCACUCCCGACCCCCCCGCUACGCCCCGCGCGAAUCCGCGCGAUUGCUAUUUCGCCCGGUCAAAUUCGGCGGCAGAUCCAUCUGCGCCCGAAACCAGAAUGUUUUCUCCGAGUGACGGGCGCAAUCUGCUCCCCCGAAUUUCAGAGGUCCCAUGGAGGAGGACGGCCCUAGCCGGAGCGGCCUGCCGCCGGUCGGGGAGUGCGAAUGGAGGGAGGAGCUGAGGCAGCAGCAGUCCCAGGUCGAGGCGCUGCGCGACCGGCUCGUGGAGGUCAAGGUCGGGAUGCGGCGCUCCGAGGACGAUUCCGGCCGGGAGCUCGAGCACCUGUGCCGCAGGGUCAAGACCAUCGCCACCCUGCUGGCGUACCUCAAAUCCAAGGCCAGGAUCAUGGCGAUACCGCACCUCGCGCACACGUCCUGCGGGAUCAGGAACCAGGACGGCGUGGGGUUCGUGGACCGGCACGGGGUGCCCCUGGCCGAUUGGUCCAAGGCCGCCGAGCCCGCUUCCUGUGGGGCAGGUUCGGAUGACCGGGCGGCUGCAGAGGGUAGCGGCGUUCACAAGCAUGGGGACGCCGUUGAGGGGGAUGGAGAUGUCGAUGAUAUUCUCAAGUCCAUCCGCGUGGUGACCGACGUCAUGGAGUCUCUUGUCAAGAGAGUGAUUGUGGCCGAGUCCGAAACUGCGAAUGAGAAAGAAAAGGUGAGGAUUGGGUUGGAAGAGAUCAGGAGGAAGACCAUUCAGGUCGAGUCCAUGUCGGUCAAAGUCGAGGAGAUGGAGAAAUUUGCAGUGGGUACGAACGGUAUGCUGAAUGAGAUGAGGCAGCGGGUUGAAGAUAUGGUGCUGGAGACCACUCGGCAGAGGCAGCGCGCUGCUGAAAAUGAGCAGGAGCUUAGUCGUGUGAAGAACGACUUUGAGUCGCUCAGAACUUAUGUCAGCACACUCGUUAGUGUCAGAGAAACUCUUCUUUCAUCGGAGAAGCAAUUCGAGACAAUGGAGAAGCUUUUUGACAGGUACUUUUGCAAGUCUUGUGUUGUUUCUUGUAAUUAUAUUCUGUCUGAAUGUAUCACCAUGUGUUAAUUUCCGUGGCAAAACUUGUAUAGCUUGGUACAGAAAACUAAAAAAAAA